UUUUUUUAUUUUUUUUUUUUUGUUUGCCCUUUUCAACGUUUCUUUUCCAGUGCGUCCUACUCCUUAAUUUGGAAAUAUUACAUAAUACGACGUCGCGAAGGGCCGCCGACACACUCGUCAUGGUAGUGUCUAUUACUGUGAGUGAAAAAAAAAAAGCGAAAAAGAAAAUGUACGGAGAGUUGUGUGAUAAAUGUCAUCCAUUCUCAAAGACAUCACUUUAUUGAUUUCUUAAUCUUUGUUUAUCCUACUUCACUUUGAUUAUUCAUAAUUACAGCACAAACUAAUUUUAUUUGAAUUGUACUUGACUACUUUUAAUGUUUUCCGGAAGUACAUAUACUGGGUUUGGAAAUUGGUAUGCCUCACAUAUUUAGAAAAGUUGCUGUGUUUGGACAGUCAUUUUCCGUGGAAAAAUUGCUACGUUUUUCAUGCAUACAUUUUCUUAUCACUUUUUUACCUCACAUACAUCAAAUUGUUACAGUAAUUUUUCUACAAAAAAUCUAGAAAAAUGCAAUCUAGGACUAAGUGAAUUAAGUGAUGAAGAUGAAAACCAAGAUCAUCCACUCUAUAGCUACUCUUUAGUGAUUUCGCUUUGCGUAGUAUAACAAAAUGGUGUUAGUUUAAUACAAGUAGUUAUUUGAAGGUUUGCCCUAAGUAUCUUUAACAUUUUUUCUAUCCGAUAUGUAUAGAGUGUGUUUGGAUUGCAAAUUUAUCUCAAAUAAUAUUUCGCUUGCAUCAUAAACACAUUUCCCAAUCCACAUUUUUAUAUUCCCAAUUACUUUUUAUCUCACAUACAUCACAUCACAAAAAGUGCUACAAAAAUUAUUUCAAAUAACUUUCUUUUUGUCGAGGCGCAUUUGAUAAAAUUAUGAAAUUUGAAAUUUGAAUAUAUUAUGUUAAUGAAUUGUUAAGUAUUAAAAUUUUAAUAUUUGAGCAUGUUUUACAUUAAAUGAUAAGUGAAUAGUUUAUCACUUAUUUUUUGGAAUAUGUUUUGUUUAGGAAAUUCAAUGCUACUUAGGGUGCAUUUGAUAAAAUUAAAAUUCGAAAAAUAUGAAAUAUGAAAUCUGAAAACUGAAUCCAUUAAAUUAUUGAAUUGUUGAAUACUAAAUUUGAUACACUUGAGUAUGCAUCGCGUUAAGUGAUAAGUAAAUAAUUUAUCACUUAUUUUUUUUGGGUAAGUUUUGUUUAGAAAUUCAGUGUCAUUUAUUUAAUUUAUAUGAUCAUUUAUUGUUAGAGGAAACUUUCUCGACAACCCCUAUACUAUUGCCUUUGUACGAUUUUGGCUCCUUAACUAUAAAUUGUCGCAAAUAAGUUGUUGAACCAAAAAAGAAAAUUAGUUUAAGGACUUCCAUCAAUUUUGGCCAUUAAAGGUGACAAAGUUAGGGGCAAAACUAACCAAACAAAUAAAUCAACCCAGGAAAAGAGCCUAAAAAGGCCUCAUUGACUAAUUAUUUCAUCAUAUGAGGGUUAAAGAAGGUGGAAGACGAUAGAAGAGAACAAAAAUUGAACUCCAUGUUAUUAGUUGACUCAAUAUAGUCGGUGUUUAAUCAAAUCGUGGGUUGAUUUUUGCCCCAAAUUCCGUUACAUUUAACCCCAAAAUUAACGAAAAUCCUUAAAUUAAGCAUUUUUUUGUUCAAGGACUUAUUUGUAAUAAUUUAUAAUUGAGGGGUCAAAACUAUACAAAGUGAAUAGUUUAAAGGCUUGCCAGAAAGUUUUCUCCUUUUGUUAUCAAACGCUUUUGACUCGUUAAGAUCUAAAUCCAAUAAAUUUAAGUGUUAAAUUCAAUUAUCAAACAAGGCCUUAAUUAAUUCAAAUAUUUUAUUUUUAAUUAUCAAAUGCAUCUCAACGUAUUAAGUAUUGAUAUGACUCCUUUAUUUAAACUAGCACUAAUAAUUGAAUAAAAUAAACCUUAUGGUUUUGACAUCCGUAGUCGUUUCAACCCGCUUCAUUGUCAUUCUUUUAAAUAUGAAAUUGACUUCACUGUCCCUACUUAUCCUAGGUUACAAAAAAUUGUCAUUCCAUAUGUAUGUUUGUAAAACGUCUUUUAAUGUUCUACUAUGUAUUAAUACACAUAAUAUGCCAUGAUGACCUUUUGACCCCCAAAAAAAAAUACAACAGAAGAAAUAUGCCUCUUACGGUUCUCUCCAGGUAGUACCAAUAAAAAACUAUCAAUAGAAGAAAUUAGGACCGACAAGAAACACACGCGACAAGAGUGAGAGUGCAUAAAAUAUCUAUGAUUACUCCACGUUUUAAGGCUACAAGGUUCUGUUUAUGCUGCAUAGCACAAGCACGAGCUAACAUUGCCCCAAACCAGAUAUUGGACAAUAUGCAUAGACUUUGUGAGACAUAUAUAGGCAUCCAUUUUAUCAAAACAAUCUUCCCAAAUCUUAACUCCAGAAAAUUGGAUCCAUUACUGCAAAAGUAUAGCCACAUCCAAGUAAUCUCCUAUCUGCAGAUGAAAAACAGUCCAGUUAAAGAAGCUUUCAACUACAGCAGAAACUAUGCAUCCUUGCAGGACAUCAUUUACCUGAAAUUUAAGUUCACCUAAGGCCCUGCUGCCAUCGUCCGCCCGCCUGGCAUUUGGGUACGAAUAGGUUCUGCCCACCUUCAACACAAGAAGCAAGGAGCACAAUUUAGAAGUAAACAUGGUAGAGCACAGAUAACUGUAACUACAAGCCGUUUGGUUGUUUACGUGCAUAUAUAACUGUGAUAGCAUGGGCACAACAAUCUUGGUAUAGUAUGCUGCAUCUCUUGAACAGAAAAGGUUGGACAGACACAGCCCGCAUCAAAUUGAAAUAAUAAGAGUAUCGAAUUCGAGAAAACACAUCUUAAUCACGUUCAGAUUACUUCAGUAAAGAUCAGCGCUGACCUAGUUUUGUCCAACAGAUUACAAUUAUGGCAAUCAUAUUAAUAGCUUCCAUGUUUUGACAGGAAAAUUGCAGGAUAACUUAACCAUCUGAGUCAAAUACAUGAAUUGCAACCUGAACCAUCUGAGCUAAAACAUGAACCAAAUGCUCAAAAGACCAGCACCAACAAAAAAUUUGGAAGUAAUGCAGUACAAUUAUCUAGCUCGCAAAUUAAAAAAGAAGCCUCGCCAAGUAUGAGGCCAAUGAGAAUUCCAAUUUUGUCUGUUAAUAUGUGCUAACAGGAAACAAAUGCUGCAGUCUACUGACCAUUUGAUUUGCAAACACUCUGACAAGCAGCAAAUUACAUGAUGACACCCAAUCUUUGAAGUAACUUUUAACCAUUAGAAAAACAGAAGUGGUUCAAACCAAAAGGAACAAGUAUGAAUCAAAUAAAGUUUCAAAGGCAGCAGAAUAUUAAAGACCAUUUGGCAGACAAACAUUAAGAACUCAAACCCCUUUAGUUACUCUAAAUUCCAUGGGCUAUACAAGAAUGAGAGAGAGAGAGAACAGGAUACCUCACGAACAACAAAGCGACCACGGCUAUUAGGAAACACAAAAGCAAAUGACAGCGUUGCAUCUCUUCUUCUUGCUUCGGGUGCUACUUCUUUUACCUAGAAAACAAUUGUAGUCAACAAAAGGACAUGGGAAGGAAUUAUGCCUUCACAUAGUAUAAAGAAAGUCAAGUAUUCUUGUACCAGAUCUGUCAAUUCCCGCAGAGUUGCGUCCAUCCAUGUAUAGAUUUGAACCUCAUCCUUGGGUUCCUUCCCUCUCACAGCAAAAUCCACCUCGUUAUGAUGUCCUCCAAUCUGUAGAUGUCAACAUUGAAUUGAAGCUUACGUAUUCCAUGGCCAUAAGCAAACAAUGGUACAACUCAGGUGCAACUGUUCUAGACCCAAAAAUGGAGACUUCACAUAUUUUAGCAUUCUCUCUUCUUUUUAUUUACAUUUUCCUUUUCUUCACCAUUAAACAACAGCAAAAAGAACCUAGAAGAUAAAUCUGCCUCCUCUGCAACAGCUUAUCUGACUUCCAAAGGUCAAUAUUUCCCCAACCAAAACCAUUUUCUGGAAGAAAAUGGUAGACAAAUAGCUUUAGGUUUGUUAACUAGAUUCAUAGGACUCAAAGUCAGUGAUUUAUACAUAAAAGAAUUAUAUGCAAACAAUUGUAUCACUAGUUAUUGGAACAUUCUUAACCAGAUUAUAAACUGAGAUCACAAUGAACCAUAUAUGGAGUAGAAGAAUGUCUUAUUUUUGUAUAACUUUUAUGCAUCAAUGAAUUACUUGUCUACAUAAUUUUUUCAUCAAUACUACUCUAAGCCUUAAAGUAUUUCCCACCAUAAACUCUUAUUUGGUAUAAAAAGUUUGUUAUUUAACAUUCAUUUAGCAUGCUCCACAGCAAUGAUUACAUUUGGAUCAUAGCUCACAAAUUGCUUUUCAAUAGUGUAAAUAUAACCACUCAGCUAAAGAACUCAUUAAAAAAAAACCACUUUAAACCACUUUAAAAUGAGUGAAAGGGACUUCUUGACAAGGAAAGAAUAUACAUACAUGAAAAGAACUGCCAAGGAAAUGUCUAUGUAUUCAACCUAUAUCCGCUUCUUUUGAAUAGACUAUUUCAAACUCAAAACAUUUUUCCCUGCAUAUCUUUCUUCCCUGAAGACUCAUUUUCAUUUCUAAUCCAGGAUCUUCCUUUUCUUCAGCUUAGACAUAACCUUCUUACUUUAUCCUCGUAAAUUCUUGCAGUUCAUACUUUAUCCUGUUAAAUUCUUGCAAAAAUAUGACGUAAUACAUAGGUAAGAUUUAACAACAGGCCACCAAAUUUGGCUCUAAAAGCAGAGGAAGCAAUAAAGAUACUAAGAGUAGCAAUACUCAAAGACCAUAGGGUAUCUGUCCAAUGGGAAACUCUUAACUAAGUGAAGCACACAUGACAAAUUCUCACAAAUGCAAAGGAAUGGCAAAAAUCUUAUAAUUUCAACCAAUUUUUAGUAUUUAUGAUGCCAAUGAAAUAUUACAUGCACAAGCAUCUCUUUGAUUUCCUUUUUCUUGAGAUUGAAAAGUUCCAUACACCAUGGCUCCCAAGAUAUGAUUUUCCAAGUACAUUAGUUCACUACAAGAGAAAGUGAGCAGCAAGUAAUUGCUAACUGAUUACUGCUUUAUACAGGAACCAAUUGUUUGAACAAGAAUGCUAAGAACACCUAGGCCAAAUAAAAAAGAUUAAAAAAAAAAGGUACACAUCAUCAAAAAAGAAAAAAUGAAAUGCAAACAAAAAUCUUGAGAGUUAAAAGCAUACCUUGGUGAAAACACGAAGCAGUAAAGGACAUGUCUGGUCACAAAAGAAAUAUUAAUCAGUUUGGGAUAACAUAGUGAAAUUUUAAGAAGAAAAUAGCCAGCAGCGGUCCAACAAAUAAAAACUGGAGGUUGGAAAGCAAUGAAGAAAGUACUUCACAUUAUACAUUAUAACCAUCGGAGAGGAAAUAUAUUCGCAUUCUUUACAACACAAGAACUAGAUAAUUUUCUUCCAUCAAUUCCAUGCACUUGAAUAGAAAUUUGGAAUAUCCCUCCUUUCUAAACCCAAAUUUCCAUGACAGAAAUUUCUAAAAAAGUACCCUAAAAAAAAUAAAAGAUUAAAAUUUAAAAGUAAUUAUAUUCUUUACUUCUUCCACCAACAAGCGUUUCAAUGGUACACACAAUGUCGCUGUAAUAAAAUAAUACCAAUCCUUAGUUCUAAAACCAUAAUUCCCAAAACCCUAGAGAGUUCUGAAUGUAGAGACAAAACGAUAGUAAAAGAGAAAAAGCGGCAACCUUCUCUCGAUCGACCGGUACGAAGCGAGGGGCAACCUUGGCAGUGGGUGGCGGUGGAGGUGGACCUCUAGCCGAUGGGGGCAACGGUCUUCCCCCUCCUCCUCCUCCUCCCCCUCCCCUUCUCUGCACUUCAGCCAUUGGAGCUCUCUCUGUCUUCUCUUGUACAAACAAUCAAGAAAAUACUACGGACUUCUUGCUUCUAAGUUGGUGUAGCUUAUAUGGGUUAAUGUGCUCGGCCCAUCUGAGCUAGUGAGAAUCUCAGAGCCGAAUUGGUUCCUUGGCCCACUUUGUUAGACAAGGUCCAUUUGCAAUGUGAAUAACAUUUCUUCUAGCUCUGACUUGAAUAAUCAUAUAUUCGUGAAUUAUAGGCUGUUUUAAAUUAAUCAAUGCUUCUUCAAAAAAAAAAAAAUUUUAAUCAAUGUCCAACAAGAUUUUGGGCUUGGUCUAAAUGGAUUAUUUUAACUUAUUAUAAAUUCUAAUUUUGGAUAAUAUGUUUUUGUGAUGUUCUCAAUUAUUUUUAUAUUCUGAUUAUAAAUUUUUAUUAAUAACAAACUAAAAUCUAUAAUCACAUAAAAAGUAACUCUUGCUGAUUUUGAUUAUUCACUAGAAUCCGUUUCUAUAAUCAAAUUUUGUAAAAUUUAAAGCAACCGAAAACUAAACUUUUGUAUUCACUAGCUCUUUAAAUAGCUUGGAUAUUGGAACCUAGCGCAUCAAUUACAAGGAUUAUCACUAUUCAUUUUUUUUUAUCAAUUAAUGUUUAUUUAGUCUGGUUCCUUCGCAUACAAAUCUAGUGUUUGGAUACAAAACACAGACUUAAACACGAACUCACAUAAAUUUCUUCUUCUUUUUCUUUUUGGCCCUAGAAAUAAGUACUAAAGGUUUGGUGUUGGGCGGACAGGCAGAAAUUACAAACCAGUGCAAUUCAAGUACCGGAGAAGGCACUCUUACAAUAUGGAUUAUAACUCGAGUAUUUUCCCCGACGUAUGUUGUCACAGUUGAUAAAGAUGAAUCACUUUCUUACAAAAAAGUAAUAGUAUAUUCAAAUCUCAAUGUUGAUGUAAGAAUUAUGAUGAGAGUUAUAACAGUAGAUAAUCUAUUAGUAUGCCUAAUUAAGUGAGUUAUGAUCCUGAGUGUAUGUUAUAAUGGUGGAUAAUCUGUUAGUAUCCCCAAGUGAGCUAUGGUCGCGAGUGUAUGUCUAAAGUUAUAAUGACAAUUACGAUGGUGGAUACCACCCGUCCAAAAGUUAGUGGCCAUCACCAAUGCAUUAAGGCUUGGUGGGAUGGGAGGUAAUCCUGAACCUUACCUCCCAUCAAUUUGUCACAAUUAAAUGUGACUUUAUUUAAAAAAUUCAGGCGGUGUGCGUAGUGCACCCGUCUGGUCCGGUGGUGAUUCAAUCCUCUCCGGAUUAUUUUAGGAUCUCUUCAGGCUCUCCCCCUCCUCAUAGUAUAGGAAGCUAUCGUAUCGAAAAAAAAAAAUUACGAUGGUGGAUAACGUGCACGCACCCUUGUAAAUUACCUAUGGUCGCGAGUGCGUAUCUCGACUUGCAAUGAUGACUAGAACUAAAACUACCACCCAAACUUUUUAUUAUUAAAAAAAAAAUAGAAGAUUUUUUUUUUCUUGUUCCAUGUUGUUAAUCUAAGAAUUAAUGUAUUAGGUAGCAUUCCACUAUGACCUUUUUGGACAUGUUUUGAUAGGUCUAACGUUCAAAUGUGACUUAUCCCUUAAGCAUGUCUGGGAAUGUGCAUGAACCACCCCAAAAGUAGGCAGUGCUAACAAUAAUUUAGACUUGCAUAUUUAUCAUUACCUACUUUAUCGACACUCUCUACAAAAUUUUGAUACUUUCCCGUUAUUACCUUUUUUUGGCCAUUGUUAACAUUAAGGUUCCAAGCGUCCACACUUAAGAAAGGCCUUUCUAGUUCCUCCUAGUAUAUAUAUUUAGUAUAUAUUGUGUUCAAAGUUUUCUUCUGGUUGUUAAAAAAAAAAAAAAAGAAGAAAAUGAUCAAUAUGAAAUUAGAUUGAAACACGUACAUCUACAAUUUCAAAUCCAAAUAUAGGCAAAGAAUUGCUAUAAAAUUCGACCCUCAAAAAAUUUUCUUACAUCGUGCAAUUUCUUCUUGUUGUUCGCCGGAAUUUCCAUUUUCUUCCCAUCAGUCAGAGACUUUCCUUGUUUUACCCAGUUGAAUGAAAAGCAACCUUGGAAAUCCUUUUCCUUCUUGGGUAGCUUGGCUCUUAUAAUUCUUACACAUCCUAUAUAAAUGAAGUCCAGGCAGAGCAUAUCUUCUGUAGGAGCGAAACAUCCUCCAUCGGCAAUUAAAUUUAUGGUCCCAUAUCCUAAUAAUACUUUUUAAAACUUUAAACUGCAGGCCGACAAAGAACUCUUCUAGUGAGACAAAUAUUUUAUACUUGAGAGAAAUUGCAGUUUUGGGUUUUUGGUUCCAAAUAUUAAUUUGGAGCACGAGUGCUUCUUCUAGUCCCUAAAAUUUGGAGAAAAAAAAAAAGACAAAUGUAGUUCCAAAUGUUUCAAUCUCUAAGCAUAUUUAAUCCUAAUGACUGAUUUUUACCAAUUGCUACCGGAAUCCGUCAAGUGCUAGCUAUUACGUAUCAAAAACUAAUUUUUUUUUAAAGAAUUGAAAAAAAAAUUUGUGGCCAUAAUUAAUUUGUAGUAACAGAUGACUAGUUACUCGCAUGGUGAUCGAUCACGUGAGUAAUUAGUCUUCAGCCUAGAAAUACAAAAAUUCAAUCGACAAAAAAAAAAAUAAUUUAGUUUAGAGACUAACUGCUCACGUGAUUAGUAUAUAAGUAAUCUUUUAUUACAGUUAGCAAUAUUUCAUUGAUUUUAAAACUUUUUAAUAACUAAUUGUUGGCACAUGAAUUCCGAUAGUAAUUCAUCAGAAAAUCAUCAGAAACUCAAGAAAAUGGCGAAGUCGUUGUAAUUAUGUCAAGCCUGAUGGGAGGUGGAUGUAAUUUACCCUUGUCAUUAACUCACAGGUCACAGCAAUAAUUCGGUCCAAGGAAUAUGACAUAAUUGGAAAAAUAAGACAGAUGAGGGUAAUGUGCACCCACCCCCUUACCCAUAUCAUUACCUUUUCCCUUGGCCGGGAGGGAGGGAGGGAGGGGGGGUUUGCAAAUGGUCCCAUGUUUUUAGAAACACAAGAGUACAAAUGGGGUAUCCCGAUGUUGAAAUUUGAAAGCUCCACCGAUAGGGAAAGGAUUGGUAGGAAAUGGAAAGAGGGCUUUAAAAAACCCACUCCGACCAUUAAAAACCUUCUCAAAAUGGAAAACUCUAACCACCACCACCACAGCCCAAAGUCCUUUGCCCACUGUGGAUGGUUUAGUUGCUUUGGGACAAAAGCAAAAGCAUGGGACUUUCAUUGAUCAACCUUCAAUUCAAGAGCAAAUUAUCUCAGACGGUCACUAAAGUUUUAGAAUCGUUGAGUUUUGGUCAUUGAAUUAUUAAAAAUUAAAUUUUGGCCAUCGAACUAUCUAAAGUUUAAGUUUCGGGCCAUUCCGUUAGAUUUGAUCGCUAACUAUACCUUUUUCUUUUGUCUCAUAAAUCGUGCGGACACUCAAAUCUGGUAUAGUUAACGAUCAAAUCUAAUGGAAUGGCCCAGAAUCUAAAUCUUAGAUAGUUCAGUGGCUAAAAUUACACUUUUAAUAGGUCAUUAGUGAAAAUUCGAUGAUUCCGAAAGUUUAGUGGCCAUCCGAAUAAUUUGCUCUUCAAUUCAAUGUAGCAUAGUAAAAGAGACUAACUAUAAUUGUACCCUUCUACAUCAUCAGAAGAUAUUAGAUAUUAGUAUUAGUAGUAUAUUAUUUAUUUGAUAAAAAAAUUAUAUGAAUUUGAUUUCGAUCGUCACCACAGAUAAGAACAUAUCCCAGAAUCAUGCAUAGAAGUAUUGCGGCAGUACAUAUAUUGACAAACCAUAACCAUGCAUACAUGGACCAAGCUUUAUUCUCAUGCAACGCUAUACUUCAACAACAACAACUACUACUCCUACUGCCAUUCUUUUGCUGCAUGCCUUUCUAUUUUUACCAUUACUUUCCUACUUGCUGCCCUUUGUGGUUAAAUCUUUGCAAGUGGUGCUUUGUCGUAGGAUUUUCAUGAAAGAUGAAAGGGUGCAUUCUUAGUCAUUCCAAUUCAGUUAAAACUUUGGGGCCAAAUUUUGAACCAGUGCAUGUGACUGUUGUACAGUGGUAUUGUCUGUGUCAAUUAUUGCACUUGGAUUCAAUUUAUGCCACCGAAUUGAAAGGGCAGGUACGUACUAACCCGCUUUAUAUUCUCCUUUUUUUUUCUUUUUCCUUUUUGGCUUAAUUUGAACCGGGGAGUGCAGGCAGCUGAUUAAUUUGGUGAUUUAUUAAUAGUCUAAUCCAAUUUCCUUUUGUAAUUGGGCAGGAACCUGAAUUUAAAAAAUUGGAUAUUCAAUCUAGUUUGAUUGUUGUUGUUGUUGUUGUUAAUUAUACCACCCAAAUUUUAUAGACUAAUUUUUGCACAAAAUGUCAAACUUGCCCUUCUCAAGUCCAAUUGCAAUUAGAACUUAAAAGGGGUAGUCUUGUCAUUUUAACAAAAAUUGCCGUAGAAAUAAAAUGCGUGUUGUGUUGUGGCAAUAUAUUAUUAUUAUUUCCCAUGGAUCACAGUCAAAUUAGAGUUUACAGGAGGACAAUUUUCAAUAACAGAAAGGACUGUCCUUUUUUAAAAAAUCUCCACUCCCUAAUGUAAAAUUGUUGAGCUCUUUCACUGGUCGGAAAAUGGGUACAACAAAUUACAAGAGUUAAAAAAAAAAAAAACUUAACUGACGUCCACGUCUAAUUAAUAAUAAGCUAUUGAGUCUUGAUCGUGUUUUAGUACUUAGCUUCAAUCAGUCGACUUGUCAGAUUUGCCUAGCUACCUGGCUGGUUUGCACUUUACACCAACCUAUGAUCUUACCAUCCUCCAACAUGGGAUUGAUGUUGAAGACUGAAGAGGCAUGUUUUACAGUUUAAUCUUCUUGUCUAAAAUAUACCCCAAAGUAGCCUUUUCCAUCUUUAUCUGGUGAUAACUUCGACUCUAAACAAAAUCAACCAUCUGUAAUUAAUCAAAUUGGCAAAGCAUGGUAUAACUAGAAGUGGCAUAGCUAGAAACAAUUUUUCUAAAUAUUAUAAUCUCCGUUUCGAUUAGCUGUUUUUUAGGAUGUUUUUGAAAAAUUUUACUGCAGCAAAGUUUUUAGAGUAUAUUUUGGGAUAUUUUUAGAAAAUAUUUUGAAAUAUUUAAGAGUGGUAGAAUUUUUAAAAUAUAUUUUAGGAUUUUUUUAAACACUAAAAAAAUUUUAGACUACUUUUUAGAAUACCUUUUAGAGUACUUUUUACAAUUUUUUAUAGUAUUUGAAAAAAUAAUUUUUGAAAAACUAGAGGAUGCUUGUAUCACAAACACAAUUUUCAACCGCAUUUUUCUAAUCCCGUUUAUCUUUUUAUCUUACACGCAUCACAUCAUAAAAUGUGUUAUAUUGUUAGGUUAAAUAAUUUUUACAAACAAUCUCCUAUCCAAUGAUGCCCUUUUUUUUCGGUGACAAAAUCUCUUAAAUGACCUAUGUUUGAUGAAAUACACACUCUAUUAUCAUGAAUUUUCACAUGAAUAGACAUUUUAUGACUUUUUAUCCACUGUCCUUGACCUUUUUUUUUUUGCCUUUUUGGUUGGGGUAAGUACUGUUGUUGGAUCAUUUAUUGGAUAUUCAAAUCGAAACACAUUUUCAUAAACCUGAACAGACAAAGAAAUGUUUUUACAGCAUUAAUGUUUGUAGUACAGCGACAUGCUAAUUGAAGAAGUUAGGCUUGCCGAAAAUAUUAAAUUUCUUCAACUAAAAAUCCACAUCUUGGCAGAAAAACAUUCAAGGAUGUCAUUUAAUAUCAUGCAUAUAUUCUGUACCCAAUCAAGAGCCCCAGGCCAGAUGAUGAUGUUAAGAUGUUAUUUUUGCUUCUCAUCUUAAAGUUUCAUGGGGCACCAGAUUACCACAGCCUAAUUAUGACAACGCAAGUGACAGCUCUGCUUUCCCAAUUCUGGAAGCAAUGAAGGCAUCCGAUUAUUUCGUAGGAGAUUAAGUGUGUAAUUUUGAAGACGACAGCAGAAAAUGAAGAGCUUAAACUGGCUACAUCCUAGUAAGGCAACAAGAUGCUUCUUCUUUUCAGGGUUCAACCAUAGUUAUUAAACCCGGUCCGUUAAGGAAUCCAACAGAGGGAUUGGGUCACUGGUUGAACCGGUGAGUAUUAAUUUAAUAUUUAUAAAUAUAAAAUAGUAAUUUUAAUAUGUAUAAAAUAUAUAAUAAAGUGCUUUUAGAUGCUAAUUAUUAUACUUAGAAAGAUAUAUAAUUAAUAUAUAGAUAUUAAUAGAAGAUUUAAUUUCAUUUUAUCGUACUUUUAAAUAAAUAAAUAAUAUAGUCAAGUAUAAAACAAAAUUUAUAUCGCUUUUGUCAAAAAAAUAUAGCAUUAUUUUUUAUUUUUUUAUUUUUUAUUUAAAAACAAAGUAAUUUUCUAACUAAUCAAAUAUUGUCAGUUUAAAAGUUAAAAGGAUUAAUUGUAUAAUAGAAAAAUAAACAAGUUUAUAAAAAAAAUAUUUAGUUAUCAAAUAAAAGCUAAGUAAGUGGUAAAGUCUAUAUACAUUUAAAUGAAGAUCCAAUGUACAAAUCUUAUUGAAAGCAUAUAUACAUUUUGUUUAAAAAACAAAGGCCCACAAUUAAAAAAACAUGUAAAUUGGGUCAAUUAAAAAAUUGGAAGGAUUCGUUGUUGAACCAUUGGGUCAACCGUAUUUGUCCAAGUCAAUUGCUCGUCUGGUCAAACUAGAGACUUGGCCUGAUCGAAUGUCCGGAUCACGGGGCUGACUGGUUCAACCGUCGGACUUGAUCGGGUUUAAUAACUAUGGGUUCAACUGAAAAUGUAGCUUUAAAAAGGAAAAUGGAGAAGGCUUUUAGAGUUGAAUUAGAAGCCUCGUCUUUAUCUAACUAAUGCCUUCGCCCUCCAGGGCUUGGUCUGGUGGUUGAGGUUGCUGAAAAUGGAGUCUUAGGUCCCUGGUUCGAACCUUGCUGCUAGCAAGUUGUGGAGGGUGGGGAAUAGUCUGCGGGGUCCACUCCCUGCGGGACACCCCUAAAAAAAAAAAAAUCUAACUAAUGCCUUCACCAACUGAACUGGGUUUUACGUCAAAAUGCUUUUCUUAUAGUUAACGGAAAAUGAGUAAUAUCUAAGCAAUUAUAUCAGACAACAAUAUGCUCUUACUAUAGUUCACACGAAAUAGAUUGGUUAUUGCGUUAAAUUUAGUAACUGAGAAUGAUUUUUAUGCAAUUUCUUAAUUUUUCAGUAAUUAUAUGUGUGACUUACAUGAAAUAGUCAUAAUAGCUAAAUUUACUGAUUCUACAAUAUCAAGGCACAAGCAGGGGCAACAAGAUUUUCAAAAUAUACGAUAUACUCGAAGCUUGAAUUCGUGAUCAGACAAGGCGUUGUAGCGUUAGCUCUGAAUGUACAAGGCAAAAAAGAGUGAUAUCAUAAGUUACAGUAGUAAAUAAUUAGCACCUAAUCAAUAACUGCCAACAAUUGAAAGAAUUUACCAACAAUAAAACUUUCAUUUAUUUCCAAAACAACCCAAUUAUGUUUCCCUAAUUCCUCCCACAAGCAUUAUUAGCUGGCAUGUGGACCUACUGAUACAGUACUGGUGGUUCCAAUGUUGCAUGCGAUAAAUCAAAAUAAAAUACAGUAUCAGUCAAGAUAUGCUCCCGAAAUUAUACAUCGUUUAUAGGAGUUUUUACAUAUCGUUUACAAUCUUUACAUCGACAUUAAUGGGAUUCGAAAACAUGAUUCUUUAUGAGGAAUGACCGUCGUUAUCAACUGAUCCAACUUAUAUUAGCACGAAAAUUAUUCUUUAAUGCUAACAAAAGAACCUCAUUUAUGUCAUGUUGAUGGAGGUUGACUUCCUCUAAAUUCCUCAAGGUUGGGCAAAAAAGGUGUUCGUCUAAAGGUGAUUCUUGAAAAUUAGUGAUUGGAGAAUCAUUUCCAGAAAAAAAAAACUUAAAAUUAAAAUAAGCAACUUCUUAUUUGAAUGGAGCAUUUGUAAUGUCGAAGUCUUACAUGCAACCCCAAUAGCGUCAUUAGAUUCUGCCAAACGGACCUUAGGUUUCUUUUGCUCUGCUAUAUUCUGAAUUCUUCGUAAAUUGCUUGAAUCCUCUAAACAAAAUUAUACAAUGGCUGAUAUUGCACUAUUCCCUUAUAAAUCUUUUCAAAUUUUAAUUAGUAAAUCUGAGCAUGAAAGUCCAAUAAGAAAAAAAAAAAAGAAGACAAGAAACAUACACUUACAACAAAGAAAACAAAGAAAAAAGAAAGAAAAGAAAAGUCAUAUGGAGAUAAACGUGCAAAGGGGUAUAGUCAUUUCAGUGAUAAAAGUAGAGGGAGAGCGCAAUUGAUGUAAAAUCGCAUUGUCUCAAUGUCUAUGCCUGAAUUCUGAUGUGCCCACUGGCCCCUGGGUUGGGUUUGACAAGAAGAAGGACGAAUUUAAAUUUAUCAUCACCAUUGCCUGAGGAGCUCCCCCUAGGACUGGGGCCACAUCACACGUCCAUCUAUUCACCUGGGAUACAUAUUUAUACCGCAUCAUCCAUCCACCAUUCAACUAGAUGCAUUUUGUGCAAUGUCCAGUUAUUUUUUUCUGAUUUUUUUCUUUUUUUUUCUUUUGUAGAAAUGUCAAAUGAUCUUUCCGGCUUUCAUCGGAGCUUUUAACGAGUCGAAUGCUUGGCGUUUAGAUUCUAUUUGUAUAUUAUACAACAAGGUUCUAGUUCGAUCGAAUAUUAAAUAAAUUAUAAAUAUUGUUCGAAUUCCAUUUUUAAUUUGUAUAAAUAUUCGAGUUUGAAUUCAAAUUGUGCUCGUUAUAUUGAACGAGAUGGCUCUGAGCUCAAGUUCUAGCUUGAAUUUGAGUUUGAAAAUUAUUUAAUUAUACCUUUCUAAAAAUCAUACAUGAUUUGGAAUAAAUUUAUUUAUGUUUCUUUGUUUCAGAAAAUAAAUAAUACUAAUUUAUGUAUAAUUACAUAUUUGAAGAAAAUACAAGAUAUAUAUACCUAUAUUUAUUAAUUUAAAACGUACUUAUACUUAUGUUUAAUUAUUCUUUAUAAUUAUCUAUGUAUUCACGAAUCUAUUCGAAUAAUUUCGCAAUAAAUUUGUGUUCGACUCGAUUAUCAAACAAGUCUAAUAUCAUGCUUAAAAUUCGAACUUAAACGAGCCAAAUCAAACGUGCUCACGAACCAUUUCUUACCCUUCCUUGCCUCACUGGCAUGUGAUGAAGGUUUUUUUUUUUUUUUUGGGAAUGGAUAAGAUUCACAUGUGAGUUUUUCCAAGAUUUAAGGAAGCAAGCUAAUAUUUUCAUAAACAAUUUUUUUUCGCAAUAAUAUUUUAAGGAUUUUUCUUAUAGAAUGAACUCUAGUUAUUACACUUAAAUUAUACCUAACUGACAUGUAAAUAUACGUAAUUACAAUUAUUACAUUAUCUCUAAUUUAGACACUUUCUUAGAUCAAUUAUACUUUUUCAAAAAAUUAACACCUAAAUCCUUUUUAACGAGUGCCGGUUGGGUAUUCAUUAGCCAAAUCGAUAUUUUAAAUCAUUAGAAUCCUGGAAAGAAUAAUUAUAUGAUUAAUUCAACAACUGUGGCAAAUUUUGUUAAGCUUACCCAGAAUUAAAAAUAGAUCAGCAAACAAAAGAACAUUGCCAAUGUCUUUGAAGCCCAAAAAGAAUAACAUUACGUACCAAGCUUUUGCUAAGUCUAACUUUAUUUCUAGAAUUCCCCCAAGAGAGGAAAAAAAAAUAUUAGCCCAAAAAAAUAAUUCUACCAAAUAAUCAACAUUUCAGACUAUGUAGAAAAGUCUGAUCACAAGUCCUGGUUCUAUCACCUACUUAUGUUAACAAAAUAUUUGUCGAAUUACUUUCCUACGGCGAAUAAGAAAAAAGUACUGCAGUCUUUAUUGUGGAGCAUAUGUUUUGUUGAAGUAUAACGAAUAAGAUCACAUGGCUUUGAAGGUUGCUUUUUUAUUUGCUUAUUGCCGAAUAUCAUUUUUGAUCUUGACGACACAAGCCUUAUUGUCGUUCUAAUAUCUUUUUUUUUUUUAAUUAUUGUAAGCUAAAACCUUUCAUUCUUCUGUAUACAACCGAUAAUGUAAUGUUCAUAUGUAAUGGAUUCAAAUCUUAAUAUGUUCAAACUCGUAUUUGAUAAUCAAAAUUUGAACAUAUGAAUUAAUUAAUUAUCCUUGAAUUUUCUAGGUAAAACUUGCUCCCAAAAAUAAAUAAUAAACUAUUCACUUAUUACUGAAUGUGAUAUACAUUCAAAUGUAUUUGAUUUAAUGAUUAAUAAUUCAAUAAUUUAAUGAAUUCAGAUUUCAGAUUACAGAUUUUAAAUUUCAAUUUUCAAUCUUUAGUUUUAUCAAACGUACCGUGAGUCCCUUUUUGCACUUAUGGGUACUUGUUCAAAUGAAGGUUACCAAGUUUCUUCUCCACGUUUCGGGCACUCAGACCUAAGGAAAAUGGAGUUAGGGUACAAGUUUUUGUUUGGGUCAACCAAAUUUAUUAAUAAAUAGACUAAUUAACUCGUCCCCUCAACUAACUCAUUGUCCCAAGCAUCGCGCAUGACAUUCACUGCAAGUGAGCGAACUAGUAAAAAGAACAUUUUGCCUUUCAUUUUCUGUUUGUAGAGAUGCAAAAAAUGAUUAACAAGGAUAUUUACGACCUCUUGAGUAUCAGAAGAGAAACGAGUCUAGUCAAAUCGAACAUCCUAUUUAUUUUAACGAAAUUAAAAUUUUGUUCAAAUUUAGUCUAUUUAUUUGUCAAAUCGAAAUUGAACGAGAUUUUUAUCGAUUUUAAAAGUUGUCGAACAUAAAACGUCGUUCAAAUUUGAUUUGACUAGUUGGCGAACUAAGUUGGAACGAACUCUUAUGAAGUUGAACUUAAUUCGAGUAUCAAAUAAUUUGAUUCAUCUUUCAUCCUUGCCAGAUGAUGAAAUUGACUAGAGAUCUUGUGGUUUAAGGGAUGCCCUUCCCUGAAUAAUCAAAUUUAUACCAACAAUUAGAAAGGAACGCAGCAGAAUAAUACUCGAGAACUUUGUCCCGGGUCUUAUGAUUCAUCCAUGUACCAGGCACCUAAUUUUUGCAGCUUCAAAUUAAUGAAAUAUCAUUCCAGUUGUUAGCAUUAUAUAGAGCUUAAUAGAUCAGAUUAAACACACUUCAGAGAUACAAACUGGAAACUUAAGAUUUGGCAUAUUGGAUGCAUUUGCCAGAUUCGGAAGAAGCACAGUUAAUGUGGGUUUCAAAACAAAAAGAAUGAGAAUUAAAUUUCAAUCAUACUCGUGAAUAAUAAUAUUGGUUUAACAUCAAUUGGUAUUAGUGAAUGGCUUUCAUGAUUAAUCAAGUAUUAAAGAGUAGAAUUUCACUUAUCUAUUAUUCUUUAUUAUUAAAUCAACUACUGUAAAGUUAGGUUACCAGAUGCUAUAUGGAUUUUUAUCAAACCUACUUAUUUCCUAAUUUAUAUACUCAUAGUAAUAGUGAUUAUAAAAUUUGAAUCAAACUGCACCUUAGAUAGUAAAUUUUCGAACUUAUAUGCACAUGCACUAUGUAUACGUUUGGUAGUACUUGCACUAUGUAUACGUUUAACUACUAAACCAAAACUUCCUCGUCAUAAAGAACCUUUUUUUUUUAAAGAGGAUUAAACGUGAUUUUUCACUUAUUCCCUUGAUGAGUCGAUCCCGUGGCCUCUCAAUUAAUGAAGCAUUUUACCAACUAAGUCGCACUUCAUUGAUGCGGCACUUGAUGAUCGUCUAGAAAGGUGUUGAAUAUUUAUGUGGUUAAUGAGAAAAUGCUCAACUGCAUGACUUUUGGUGGAUUGGUCUGGCAAAGAAUUUCCUUUAUGUGUUUCAGCUUUCAAACAAAGAUUGAGCAGUUGUAGCAUUUUUCACAUCGAAGUCUAGUUGAAAUUUGAAAGAGAGGAACAAACUUCAUGCCAGCCAUAUAUAUAUUUCGGACUUUGACCGAAAAAGGUUGUUCUUCAGAUCAGCUGCAUGAUUUGAUUAGGCAGGAUGACAAUUAACCUUAACAGAAAUUCAGGUGUUUCCAUAAUCUCUUGUAUUUUCUUGAUAUGUACGGACAUGUUCCAACAUCCUUAGCCACGAAUUGAGGAUAUUUAAUUUUAGUUAGUGGCCACAAUCCAGUUUAUACUUUAUAUCAAGCCAAAUUAGUGGUCCAAAUCUGGAAUCAUCCUUCCACACCCCUUCCCCUCCCUUUUUUUGUUUUUGUUUUUGCAUGGGAUGGCUCAAUGGUAAAGUUUUUCCUUUUUUUUUUUUUUUGAGAAGUUCAUAUUCAAACGUGCUAAUAGCAGUUCCCAGUUAACAAGCAAUUUGUAAGACUAGAAGUAAGUCUCUAAUUAGUAAUUAGUGGCCUGCAUCGACAUUAGGUAGAGUAACAUUUCCUUAUUUUAAACUUUCAGCAAAAAAAAAAAAUCCUAAAACAGAAAUAACUCCACCAAAGCUGGAGACUGUCUUUCAACAAUUAUAUCAAAUUUGAAUCUAUCUAUCUCCCAAAUUUUCAUUCCUUUUUGGAUGGCUAAGUCUUUUAUGAGAAAUUUUUAAGAAACAAUCUAUUGCAUUUUUCAGGCACUUCUUUUUAAGGGGAGGUGUUUUGGUAAAAUGCAGAGAAUUAAAUAAAUAUAAAAAUUAUCAAACACCUCAUUGUCUCACGUUCAUGAUUUAGAAAAAGGGGCUAAAAUUCUCAACAGCUACUAAAACUAUUGCAUGCCCACAUUGACUUAUGACCAUCAAACAAUUUUUUGUCACAAAUUAACACUAAACUAAGUAAUCAGUACACCCGUUGCCAUUUUAUCGAUUAUUACUCUUAAUCUACAAAAUAAUCAGAACACGUGUCCAAAUGUAAAGGUGUAUUUGUCCACCAUGAGUUUUUUUUUUUGUCAAAACAUGGUUAUGAUUAUUUUAUAGAUUAAGAGUAAUAAUCGAUGAAAUGGUCAUAGAUAUGCUGAUUAGUUAUUUUAAUGGCUAAUUUAUGACAAAAAAUUGUUUGAUAGUCCAUUCGGGCAAUAGUUCAAUGACUACUCAAAUUUUUGCCUAAAAAAGGCUAAAAUAAAUAUUAAAAAUGUUAUUUGCGCUCUUAUUUUUUGUUAAUCAUACUCUUGCUAUUAUUUUAAUCAUAUAAUUAUCAUUUAUUAGAUUAUAUAAUAAAAUAAAUGGCAAAAGCGCAAAUAAUAUUUUUCUAAAUAUUUUAUACAUGUACCCACAAAAACGAAAUAAUUACUCAGUCAAAGACACAAAGUAGCUCACCCUACUCCCCACAAAAGGGGAAAAAAAUAGCGCAAUGACUUAGGCGCGUGAGGGUGACUUUGUUACCCCCCAAAACUGGAGUUUAUACUGCGGUAACAAAGAGCAAAAUUAAAAGAGCAAAGUUAUGCAGAAAAAAGGAGAAUUGUAUAGAAGAAAGAAGUGGCAGUACACUAGCUGGUAACUGCACCAAAUUGAGUAAGAUUUUCCUUUUACUCUUUGUUUUUUCACAUGAAGAAAAGGUAGGCAUACAUAUGUACACUAAGGAAUCCAGAAAAGAAACAAAAGGUUGCAACUAUUGUAAAAGAGAACAAACACUAACAAAAGAAGAGAAAUUAUUGUAGGUUUUCCAUUUUCUUGUAAGAGAAGGUCCAAGAUUAAAAAUCUCCUUCUGCUCCACCAUUUAUAAGGAGGGAGGAAUUUUCAGUACUCGCUAGCUACCUUUAUUACUUCAGUUCCCCAUCUAGCUGGCUACCUCCUCUUCCUUCUGUCUAUUUUAUCUAUUCUCAUCCCAUUUAUGCACAUGUACAAACUCCUGUAGAUAAUACUUCAGUGCCCCUGGCCUCUCCAUAAGACAAUAUAUAUUCUCUUCUCUUCACAUCCAAGAAGACCAUCACACUUUUUCCUGGCUGCUUGCACGCACACACACACACACACACACGCUUGCCAUUCAAUCAUAAGUUUUUUUGUAGAAACAUUUUCAAGGGGAAAAAAAAACAUGGGAAGAGGAAGAGUAGAGUUGAAGAGGAUAGAGAACAAGAUCAACCGUCAAGUGACUUUCUCUAAGAGAAGAAAUGGUCUGCUCAAGAAAGCUUAUGAACUUUCUGUUCUUUGUGAUGCUGAAGUUGCUCUCAUCAUUUUUUCAAGUCGCGGCAAGCUCUACGAGUUCGGCAGCUCUGGGUAUAGAUGAUAUUCAUAUAUAUAUAAUAUUUGUGUUUACCUUUAUUUCCUUUUUGUGUAUGUCAGAAAAGCUUCAUGUUGAAGAUUUUGUUUUCCUUAAAGAACCCAAUAUACUACUCUCAAUAACCCAUCAUGAAAGACACAUUUUGUUUUUUUUUUUAAUUCUUCUUUGUUUCUGCAUGUUUGUUAUUUUAGUGCAAAGAGGAAAGGGCAAGCCCCGGUGGUCAGAUUCUUAUGAAACUGCAGUUCUUAUAUGUGGGCUUUGCUGCUUUUUGAACCCCUUGAGUUCCCUUUUUCUCGUUGUUUUCGUUCUGUUGUUGGGUUGGGACUUUGAAGGAUUUUGUGAGUGUAUUUUUGGUUUGAGGUCCAACGAGAGAUCGACACGUUUCAUGGUCUCUGAGAGAGUUCUCUCACGAUCAUCAUCAAUAUUAGUACAAAGGUGGAUGGAUGAAUGGAUCAGACUUCAGAGAGAGAGAGAGAGAGAGAGAGGUGAGAGACUCGCUUACGAGGUUGUAGUUGUUUUUUGUUUCCAACAUACUGCAGAGACUUCUCCAACCCUCUUGGAUCCCUGUGCAAGAUCUAGGGUUUCUCUUCCUUUUGUUCUUGUUCUUCCCUUUUCUGUAAUAUCCCUUUAAUGCUUCACCAGAUAUUUCUGCAGUAACACUAAAAAGAAUGGUGCUUUUCUUAGUCCAUUGGACUCGAGCACGCCUUCACUCACUUUUCAUCCUUAGAUCUUGUGGUUCCAUUACUAGACUUUGGGGUCCUUUUUUUGUACACACAUAUAUCUCUUCCAUCAUUGCUUUACCCAUUAUAACUUCAAGGAAAUGCCUAAUAUCUUCAUACAAGCCAUUGCACUGGAGUCCAUAUCAAAAAAAGGAUAAUUAAACAAGGGUUAAAAGCCCAAAAGGGUUUGCUUGGAGAGUUAUCAGUAAUGUUUGAUAAUGUUGCGUUAUUAGCCAAAGCCUGCAAGAAGAUAAGUUCAUUAUUUUGACGCAGUUUUUGCUUGUAAAAGGUGGGGGUUUUCUUUCUUACUUCGUUGCCUGUGUCUUGGCCUUACAUAUUCAGCUAUGAUGCCCUUUUUGUUGCAUAAUUUGGUGAAACUUUUGAGUGUGAAAUGUGGGUUUUGCUUAUUUUCUCAGUUGCAGCAGGGACCAUCUGGGCUCUCAUUCUUUGCCAUACAUGUUCUUUUGUGUAACUUUGCUUUGAGUUCUAUCUGGGGGAAUAGGGCUCUCUCAGUCAUGAUUGCUUUAGUUUAGACAUUUUAGUGAAACUUUUAUCUUUCUACUGGCAAUGCUGGGAUUCUUUGCUUAAAUGACUCAGAGUUGUGCUCCCAGUCAAGGUUUCCUUUUCUAUGCAACAAUUGUUUUCUUGUUUCUGCUUGUUAUGUUUUUAACCCUCAAAGUAUCUUUUCUGCAGUUAUUUAUUCCUCAGUCUAUCUAAUUAUCUCUACUCCCUUAACAAGAAAACCCGAAAAAGAAAAGAAAUCUCAAGAUCUACAACGCUUCAGAGUCUUUUAAUUAUUUGUUUUUGAAAGUCUAAAAAAUUAGAGAUUGAUCUUCCCUUUUCUUUCAGUUGGUGAAGUUUCCCAGAGAUACUUUGAAACAGUAUGUUCUUUGCUUCAGCAUUUAGGUGCGUUGAUUUAUACAGCGAAAAAAUAAUGAUAAAAAAUUGAAUACGAAGACCCAAAAAAAAAAAAAGAAAGUGUUUUGAAGUAUAUUAGAGGAGCUGUAACAGUAGAAUUCUGAGCUCGAACUUCUAAGCCUUUUCUACGUGGGGAAAGAUUGGAACUUUGAGAAGUAGAGGAUCUCAGGAUUUUCAGAAGGCGGAUCUGGUCUAAUCAGACCAAAGUUGCUCAGAAAAUGAAGGACAUCAUAGCCUUCUGUCUUGACAGCUCAAAUGAUGCUUGACUACAAAAAUUUCUUGUCCAUCUAUCUUCUUUGCAUCUGCUUCAAUAUUUGACGAAUUUGGAAGUAAUUCUUCUUUUUCUUACUUAAAUUCUCUUUUUUUUUGUGUUUUUUGUGCAAUUUCUUUUCUUUCUCAUCCAUCUUAUGCAUCAUUUAACCUAGAUUUAUCAUUUUUUUUAAAUGAUCAAUAAUGGUUCCUCGCUUGCUCUCAAACUAUGUUCAUAGUUUUAUGCAAUUAAAAUGUAUUGAUUUUGAGUCUUCUCUUUACCUUUUAUUUUCUUGGGAAUGCCCUAAUCAAUUGGCAGGCAGGAGUGCACCUUUAAUUGCUGCAUAAAUAAUGGUAUUAGUAAGUUGACAGAUUUAAUUAUCUAUGAAAUUGGCAUGCCUGUCAAAUAUUGCUAUGACUUCAUAAUUACUAGAUUUAAUUACUAGUAUUUUACUUGCUAUCUAUCUUUCUUCCUUUUUUCUUGGCUCAUGUCCUCCAGAACAUCUUGGACAACAGGAUCUAAUUCGUUUUGCUAAAACAAGAUCCAUGUUGUGUAAACAUUCAUAUGGUAAAAUUUGUCACUAGAUGUAAACAAAAUUCUUCAAUGUUAUUAUCGUGGAAUAUCUUCACAUAUGUGUUUAAAUUUUUUUUUUUUUUUUUUUGGGUAUAGGUUUUGUCAAAAUUUGCUUCUUGUCGUGCACCUACAAGAAGGAAUAACUUUGCCUAUUUAAGUACAAGAAAAAUGAAAAAUCUAGUGUUUUUAUGCACAUAUUAUAUAGACAAGCCUACAUGAAAGUUGCAAGGUGAUUACUUUAAUUGCAAUACUAACUGGAAGUAGCUCUAGAAACAAUUUGAUUGAGGCCUAUAAUAUUAGCAUUCUUUUAUCUGAGAAUGAAGCGCUCAUGUAGUUGUCCUCCGUGCAUAAUAAAAAUUGAGAGCUUUAGGUUUGGAGUUGUGCAUAAGGUGAAAAGAUCUGAAAGAAAGAGAAGGGAGAAUUAUACAAAGAUUCAUCCAAAUACAUUUACCUUCUGAUGACGGCAUAUUGAUAUGAAUACAAACUAGAUUUUUUUUUUUUAAAAGCUAAUUUGCUAAAGUCAAUAGCCUAUAUAUGUAGCUUAAAUUUGCAUUAGGGUUGACAAUACCUGUUGUUUGUUCUAUGGGUUGAGCAGCUUAUAGAAAACUAAACUUGCAAGAACAAUAUUUGAAUUUCUGUGGUCUCUGACUGACUUAGCAUCUUAAUACAAGGACCUUUAGCAGAAGUUUUGCUUCUCUUUUUGUUCUUUAGCUUCAUCAAGUCUUGGCCUUGCUCCAAAUUUUGUAUCUGCUUUCAUGUGUUAUAGUCACUGGUAAUGAAAAUUAGUUUUUAAACAAGCUCCUAAAGUUUAUGCUCUACAGAUAAAGGGCUGAAGUGAAAAUGAGUUAACUCUUCUUAUGUAUGCUGGUGAUCUCUCUCGAUGUGUUUCUUUUUUCUUUCUAAUUUUCUAUAAAUCCCUCAAAGAUUUAAAAAGUAAGAUCAAUUUGCUAUAUAUUGUUUCUUUUCAUAGUUUAGGGUAGAGAUAGCAGCUGGUAUUUGGUGUCCUGUGAGUUGCCAUGCACAGAUAGACAUGACAUAACAAAUUAUGAACCACCUUAUUUCCUCUUUAAAUUUGCAGGAUAACUAAAACCCUUGAGCGAUAUCAACGUUGCAGCUUGAGUCCUCAGGAGAAUGCUGCUGAAAGAGAAACACAGGUUUUUUUUUUUUAUAACUAUGCAGACAUUCAACAUUGCAUCAGAUUCAGAGAAACACAGGUUUAUCUGUUAAGUUAUAGUAGCGACCACAUUAAUUAUCAUGAAAUAUGAUCCAGCAACACGUUACUCCAUGUGAAUCAUUAAUUGGACGCUCCAUGCCUUACUGUUUAUCCAAAAUAGAGCGUUUUUGUGGUCCUAGAGUACUCUUUUUCUUGCAAAUCUAGUAACUUUUUCCUUGUUUUGACAGAGCUGGUACCAAGAGGUCUCAAAACUGAAGGCCAAGUACGAAUCACUACAACGCGCUCAAAGGUUAUGCGUUUCUCCUUGUAUAAUUAAGCUCAUUAGUCCUUUUCCUUUAUUGCAGCCCUUGCUUCAAUUUCUUGGUAAUUACCUGAAGUGACAUAUAUAUUGACCUUUUUGUGAAUUCAGUGCACUGCUAUAACACUUGGUUUUACUAUCGACAGUUUGACUGAAUUUAUAUAAAACCUCUAUUUAUAUGGCAACUUCUAAAAUCAUAUUGUUAAUGCUUGAAGGCACCUACUUGGAGAAGAUCUUGGUCCAUUGAAUGUGAAAGAGUUGCAGAAUCUUGAAAAGCAGCUUGAGGGAGCUCUUCUCCAGGCUAGGCAAAGGAAGGUACUACUUACAAAGUGUUUGGAAUUACAGUUGCAAACCAUAAAGAAUUGAUCACAAAGAUGUGAUCACAAAGAAUUUCAAGCAGCCGAUUGACUCGCUGAUUUUAACUUUAUAACAUAGAUAAUAAUCCAAUUCUAUUUUUUUUUUUUUCAAAUUGCUUCAAGAAAAAGAACAUCAUUUAUAAUUGACUUGAAUGUUUGGAAGCUGAAACAACAAUUGUAAAGUCAAAAAGAUCAACAACAUAUAGUCGAUAUUUUUCCAUCUUUUUGAUGAAACAGGUCUUGUUUUUGUCAUCGUAUAGGACAUUUGCUGAAUACAUACAAAGUUGAUAUACAUGAAAUUAUUUUGUAAAUGUCCAAGAAGCUUCUACUCUUUCUAUAGAUACGUUCCUCUAAAUUUUACUUGAAUGUCGUCAUUCUCUCUAUAUAUAUAUAUAAACAGUAAGCUAUUUGGUGACUUGUCAUACUUCCUGCCAAUGAGAUUCUCACUGAUGCCAUUUCCCUCUUGUCCCCUCUAUAUAUAUAUGUAUAUAUUGCAGACUCAGCUAAUGAUUGAACAAAUGGAAGAGCUCCGAAGAAAGGUGAAAAUUAAAUUUUCUUGCUAAAUUAUUCUGAUUAUACCCUUUUUCUCUUUGAUACUUAAUCACUAGAAGUCUCUGAAGUUUCAAAUGUUUUCUUGGUCAAAAAAUGAUUUCCGACGUCGUUCCCUUAACCUAGCUAAAGGAAUGUACCGAAACUAAAAGGAAUCCACUCUUGAUACGUACAUGUUAACGGAGUUGACGCCUGAGCCUCCAUAUCAGCUAGAGCGACCCUAUUCUGCAUGCUGUCAAAAAAAAAAAACUGGAGAAAGUUCAAGUCUUUAAUUAGGUCAUAAACAUUUAAGAAUGUCACUUACAGGUUUUGCUAAUUGCUGUAAAACGGCCUAGUGAACAUGCAAGAUUUAGAAGCAUUUGCGAGGUCAAUUGAGUUUUUAUUGCAUGAACAUGUCCAAAUGGUUAUAAGUUGAAGUUGAGUGUCAUGAUAGGAAGCCAUGGAUGUGGCUUCUUUCAUUUCCUGCUCAUAUAUAUAUACUGGAAUUAUGCAAAAGUGUACCAUUUUAUGUGGUGGCAGGAGCGGCAGCUUGGGGACUUGAAUAAGCAGCUUAAGAUUAAGGUUUCCCUGGAAAUGUCAUCGGUAAUGAUUCGAUUCGAUUCGAUUCGUUCAUUAUGUGCACGUAAUAGGAUCCGUUAGCAGUCGGUCUGUGUUAUAUUACAUAGAAUUCAACAUUUUUCUUUCAUAUUUUGCAGCUUGAAGCAGCUGAGGGACAAGGCUUAAUAAGAGGCCUCCCUUGGCUUUGGAGUUCGAGUGUACCAAGUGGAAGCAGCAUGUUUCCUAUGCACACUUCUCACCCCAGUGCCGCCAUGGAUUGCGAUCCUGAGCCUGUCCUACAGAUAGGGUUCGUGCCCUUAAUUACGACAAUUUUCUCCUAUGUUGAAGUUUAGAACGGGAGGCAAUUCCUCAAAGCUCCUCAGUUCUUGAAAAGAAAAACAUCUGCAGAAUCAAAUCACUAAUUUUUUUCAGUUUUCUCUUGACCAACCAACAGGUAUCAUCAGUAUGCUCCGGCAGAAGGUCCUUCUGCCCCGAGGAGCAUGGCCAUUGAGAGUAACAUCAUCCAGGGGUGGGCUCUUUGAUAUCUCUUUGCAAAUCUUUUAUACGUUUGAUGCAAAAAACCAAUUCAAUGAUUUGUGCUUUUGGAUUUGAACAUGUUAAUCCCAUAUGAAACUAAGUACUUUAUAACUAGCUGCUUAAUUUUGUAUUUACAGAACUUGAAACUUACGCAUUUUGAUCUUUAUUGCAAGGAUUAUAAUCGCAUGAUGUAGACUGUUUGAAUCUUAACCUACCAUCUUUUUGGCCCUUGUAGAUAAAAUUUGCGUAUUUAGACUUCAAAAUUAUUGUCAUAGCAUUCUGCGAGUACGAAACCGUUUUUGCUCUCGAACAUUAGGACAGAAGAAAAGAAAAGGAAAAAAAAAAUCAAUAACUCAAUUUGGUACCCCUCAAUUAUUCAACUAUUCUCUCUUUGUACUCUAAAAAUUGUUAGUAUCUUAAGACAUUUUGUAUAUUCAAUUUGGAACCCCCACAUUGUACUGCUCGUUUUUAUUUUGACUACUUUUGAACCAAUUUUUACGAGUCAUUAAGUGUUGACCAGGAAAAGUUCAUAGGAUUUUCCUCAACUUUUUUUUAUUGGCAAUAAUAGAAGUGAAAAAUUCCUCGACACAACAAGGACUAACAAGCGCUGAAAGCCCAACUCUAUUAUAUGUAGGUUGAGCCCACUUCAUUGUGUUGAAAGGAUGGAACCAAGUAAGAGGGUUUAUAAGUCUCCUGCAGGAACCAUAAAAGUUGCCGGCUUUUGUGAUUUUCUGUUGGGUUAAGGUUUGUAAAGUUAUCAAAAGUCAUUUCUUGGCUUUGACAAAAAAGACAUCAGCCUUUCCGGGGUAAUUGAGAUCUCUUUAGGUUUUAGCAGUAGGUUCCCUGCAUAGGUUGAUAUCCCGCAUCGGGGUUGGGGGGAUUUGGGGUAGGUUUAUAAGUCUCCUGCAGGAACCAUAAAAGUUGCCGGCUUUUGUGGUUUCCUGCUGGGUUAAGGUUUGUAAAGUUAUCAAAAGUCAUUUCUUGACUUUGACAAAAAAGUAAGAGGGCUAUUUUUCUUCUUUUUUUUGUUUUUUGCCAGUUCCGGUAAUGAUUUUUGGUUAAAUUUGUCGUAAGACCGAAUUGAGUUGGCAGGGCCAUUAAUCAAAAUUAUUCAUUAAUUCUGACGUCAUUAGGUGCAUUCUCAAUUUCUCUUUUUCCUCCUUUUUUUUUUUUAACAAAUCCUACCAUCUAUCUCCUUUGCAUCGAAAAAGGAAAACGACUAGAUUUCCUGUAAUAUUUAUCUUAAUGUCACGUUAUCUUAAACAUUAGAAAUUUUGCAGAACGUUCUGCGUAAGUUCUAAAAUUCUGUGCCAGUGACUAGGGGACUAGGCUUUCCUCUCCAUUACACUCUAAUAAAUGUUAAAUUUGAAAAUUAGUUUCAAAAACCAAUAGCGUUCAUAACCUAUUUCAUCACUUGUGCUAGUCAUACAUCAAAUUUUGUAUUAAACUGACUAAGUUUUAUGGUUUAAUUAAUCAUUACAAAAUUUGUUACAAUUUUGACUCAUUUUUCACCGUUUAAACGUUUCGUGCAAAUAAAAUGUCAAAAGAUUAUCAUUUUUUAUACGUUGAUCUAGAGAUCAAAGUGAUCAUAAUAAUGACGACAUGAUCGGAUGAUUUUCUAAAAUUAUAAUGAUUUACAUAUAAAUAAGUGGUUAGAUCAAUGGAGAGGAUUAAUAUUUCAACCCGUGACUGAGCCUGAUAGCAGAAAAAUAAUUACGUAACACUAAGGAAAUACAUUUCUAAGCUUCUCUGAAAGGAGGAAAAAAUAUUUUGUAUUGGAACGAAUUUCUGGGGUUAUAACAUGUACUUGAUUAAGAAUUCCAUCGCUAUUAACGUGGGCCAAUUCGAUUAGUAUUUGAUAGUCCCUAUUUUAUUUUUAUUUGUGUAUGUGCAAACUCAAUCAUGUUUAUACUUGAACUGCAAACUGACUGGUUUGGAACGUUUUAAUCACUAGCUAUUCCCUUACUUUUGUUUGAUCAGAAAUAUAUGAGUCUCUACGGAGCAAUUUCCAAAUUCUAGUCGAAGAAAACGAUCUUGUUCUCAAUGUUGCAAGUGAAAGGAGUACAACAAAAAACGGGAUAAUCUUUAAAUCAAAAUCAGCAGAUAAAAGCGCCCAAGAAACCAAAUGAUAUGGUAGGGAAAAAAAAAGAAGAAGCAAAAACAGUGCCAGGAGAACCCCAAGAUUCCCGACAUAGUAGGCUACUAUCUGAAACCAGUCAACCUAGCACCCCAAUUAAUAUGACGAAUUCUGCGCCAUUUUCUCAUUUUAAUCUCAUUUUUUUGGUAAAUUUUUUUGUUACAUUGAAUGUAAGCAUCAUAUCCAGUUUCUGUAUUUUCCCUCUUCUUUUGCUGCUGCUGUUGCCAUAAUGGAUCGAUCUAACAAGGAGAUCAAACCGGGAUGUUGUUUCCCGGUGCGCCUGGAUCGGUCCAUGAGGCGCAGCUUCAAAUUUUCCAGGAGCUCUUCCUCUGAUAAAUUGAUUAAAGGUGGGUACUACUGAUAAUUCCCUCUUCAUUUCUUUGCACGCCUAUCAUAAUUUCGCGAGACAGUUAUUAAAUUUUGCGAUGCAUAAGUGAAAUAUGGUGUGACAAAAUGUACAAGAUUCUGGUGACAUGCAAAGGGUAAAAGUUGAGGCUUGUCAAGAAUGAUAUUAAUUAAUCUCUUCAUUAAAAUGUGAAUAUGUUGUGGUUUUAAUUUUAUCAGGUUCACCAAAGACUGGUGAUACACCAAAAUCGUGCUCAGGGGCACCAGUCAAGUCGCCCGGGCUGGUGGCAUGCUUUGGGGAACUGUUGAUUGAUUUUGUGCCAACAGUUUCUGGAGUCUCACUGGCUGAAGCACCAGGUUUCAAGAAAGCUCCAGGUGGGGCUCCUGCUAAUGUUGCUGUGGGAAUUGCAAGGCUUGGAGGCUCCUCUGCUUUCAUUGGCAAGGUUCCACAAGCAGCUCCAAUACUUUUAUCACUAAAAGUUCUUGAAAUUUUACUUUAUUGCCAACUGGCUCCUCAUGUGUUAGCUUUUUUUUUUUUCCUAGUAUUGUUUGCUUUUUUGCUUAGAUGCAUUAGAAUUGCUAUGGGUGACAGUGUGAGGCAUUCAAAUAUCUUCUAAUAGGAAUUCGAUUUUCCUAAAGAUCCUGGCUUUCGUACUUUGGUGGGGUCUAAAUCUUUUCCAUGACCUAUAUUAUGUUGAAAGCAUAUCUAUCUAAUCCGAUGAUCGGCCUGCGGUAGCAAUGGAACCGGGGAAAUUUCAUUUGAGGGAUUGCAAAGCAAUAGCUUGAAUGUUUAAGGGGGCUUCAUUGACGCACUGUUAUACCUCAGAGGGUUAAUAAGGAAAUCUCAGUAUUAGAAGAAGGCUGUAUUGUUGCAUUUUCAUGGUUUAAAGGUCUUAAUUGAAAAUAAUCCAUCUCGUUAUUUAAACAUCUUGUAUGUUUGCAGAAUUGUCAUUAUCUUUCCUUGUCAGAUAGGAAUUUUACAAACUAAUAAGCAAAAUGACAUGGGGUCAAGUCAAUAGAUCAAUCAAAUCUCCAUCAAACUGUUGAGUCCUUAGAUCAUUGCCUCGUUACUUUAGCAUCAGCAAGAAUAUCUGCUGCAAAUUUCUCCAGAAAGUUCGACUGUCAUGAACUGUUUAACAGCUCUGAGGUAUUGGACCUGUGGUGGUAACAAAUUAACAAUACAUGUUCAGGUGGGGCAAGACGAAUUUGGUUAUAUGCUGUCUAAUAUUCUGAAGGAGAAUAAUGUGGACAACUCUGGCAUGAGAUUCGACUCACACGCAAGAACUGCGUUGGCCUUUGUCACCUUAAGGGCUGAUGGCGAGCGGGAAUUCAUGUUCUUCCGCAAUCCAAGCGCUGACAUGCUUCUCACUGAAGCAGAACUCGACAAAGAUCUCAUCAGAAAGGUAACAUAUAAAUCAGGCUGGCUGCUUAAUUAUCUAGAAAUCAGAACAGGGCUAUUUCUGAACUAAUUGUUUCUUUCCAUUCGGAGCCUGAGAAUAAUCCUAACUGUUUUCAAAUCGUUAAAGAAAUUCAAGUCUGAUGUGCUCAUCUGGGCAACUACAUCUAAAGAUUUUCAGUUCCGCAAGUGAUCAUAGCUGGUGGAUACUCAAUUACGUUGGAUACACUUUUUUGUUUUUGUGGCAUCAUAGAUACGUUUUCCCAUCACCUUUUUAUAUUUUUAGUCAUUUUUUUAUCUUACAUACGUCACGUCAUAAAAAGUGUUACUGAAUUAUUCUGAAUUUUUUUUCGAAAUAAUCUUCAAUCCAAACACACUGAUACACUUUUGUUCUUUGCAGUCCUGCAUUUUUCACUACGGCUCGAUCAGUUUGAUUGAGGAACCAUGUAGAUCAACUCAUCUUGCAGCUUUGAAAGUAGCCAAAGAGGCAGGUUGCAUUCUCUCUUAUGACCCAAAUCUUAGGUUGCCCCUAUGGCCAUCAGCUGAGGCUGCUAGACAAGGCAUCAUGAGCAUAUGGGAUCAAGCUGAUGUUAUUAAGGUACUCCUAUCCCAUGUCUACCAAGAUUUUAGACUCAAGAAAUACACUAUUAAUUAUUUUAAGUACUACUAGUCAUGCUCAUUAUAUAUGGAGGAAUGCUAAUUUGAUUUCUGCAUCCAUUUUGGCGUCGCGAGUGAAUUUCAGAUAAGUGAGGAAGAAAUCACAUUCUUGACUGGAGGAGAUGAUGCUUACGAUGACAAUGUGGUGUUUAAAAAGCUUUACCAUCCAAAUCUUAAGCUUUUGCUUGUUACUGAAGGGCCAGAAGGCUGCCGAUACUACACCAAGGUUGGCCUUAGAUUAACCUCGGAUAUCUUGGUGAAAUGAAAAUAUGCAUAUAAAUCAUGUGCAAAAGAUUAUUCAAAAUCUUUAUGCAGGAAUUUCAUGGAAGAGUUCAUGGUGUAAAAGUCCAGGCAGUUGACACAACUGGUGCAGGGGAUGCUUUUGUUGGCGGAUUGUUGAACAGUUUGGCUACAGACCCUGAUUUGUACAAGGUAAAUAAAGCAGUAUUUUCUACAACCUCACUUGAUAAAUCAGGCUAGAAGAAGAAAAUCUGGACAAUGAUUUGGACAAAAUUUGGACAAAUAUCAGAUUUUUAUCAAGUAACAUAGGAUCAAAAGCGUGGUUGCCUAUCCAGAAAAGUAAAUAUAUAAAGAAAACAGAAAAAUAUAUAUGAUCAAAUAACAUAUAUAAAGAAUCGAAACCAAUUAUAUCAAAUUGUUUGCAAAAGCUGUACCUAUCAAGCGAUCCAAUAGAAAAAAUAAGUUGGCUGGCCAUGAAAAAGUGAUUGUGAAACAUACAGUUUCCCUUUUCAACUAUAUAUGCCUCGAAGGAGUACCAAUUGAUGAUUCUCAUCAAGACGUGUGGACAUAGGCCGAAUGGUGGUCAGGAAAAUCGUUCGGGCCGAUUUUAUGCAAAAUGCACAAAAUAUAACUUUGUAUGCACACGGUAUAAUUCACUUUCAAUAACAUGUAACUAUACAAUAAAAUUUUAUGAAUCCAACACACAGUGUGAAAAACGAUGUACAAGAUGCAGUCUGAACCUUACACAUAGUUAUAAAAAAUAUAGACCAUUAAGUGUUAUCAAAUCUUUGGUUUUGAUUUUUUCUCUAUUUUUGCAAUAAUGUAAUUUAGAUUUAUUUGGAGCAAUAACUAAUUAAGAGGGAAAUCUCACAUAUGAACCUCGUCAAAAUGGCCAAAUUGUUUCACUGAACAGAACCCUUCUUCUUCUUCUUUUUUAAGAAUGUUCAAAUUGUAAUGUACCCCAUGGUGCAUAGACACUAGUUCUUAAUUUUUGUUUUUUCCUUUCUGGCUGCAGGAUGAGAAGAAAUUACAAGAGGCCCUUUUGUUUGCCAACGGCUGUGGUGCAAUUACUGUGACUGAGAAAGGAGCAAUCCCAGCGCUCCCAACUAAAGAAGCAGUCUUCAAGAUUUUGGCUGCUGCUACUGCCUGAUGGAAACCCCUCAGUUCCAAGUUCUACUUCCAUAUUCUAAUGCAGCAGCCACAUCUCACAAAAUUUAGGCUUUUUUUUUUAUGUCAAAAUUUUGUCCGUCUUUCCUUCUUAUGAACCAAAUUGCUGCAUGAUUUGAGGUCCCCAUUUUGGUAUGUAAUGAAGCAAACUACUUGAAUCCAUUUUUUAACUUUUGGUAUGAAAUGAAGCCAAUAGUAGACUUGCAUUUUCUGCUGCAUUAUUUUAUGCUUCAUUUUGGAAGAUCUUGCAUUUUACAAAGGUGCUCUAAGUUUGACACUUAUCUUAAUGUAGCUAAUUACCUCUUUGCAAAGGUCCCGCUAAAAAGACUAAAACCAAUACUCCACUCUCUCUCUCUCUUGGAAAUGCACUCUUUUAAAUUUUUUUCCUUUUUUGGUUUAACUUUUUUAAGGAUAAAGAUCGGAUAUAUAGGCUAGUAGAGAAGAAGGGACAAAAAAUAAAAAAUAAAAAAAAGACCACUUGAAAUCUAUUAUUUUUCUUUUUAGAUAGAUGAUUUUUGUGAUAUAAUGUAUGUAAAAUAAAAAGAUGGUUGAAAAGAUUAAAAAAAAAGUGAUUGGCAAAUGUGUUUAUGGUACAACUAAACUAUAUAUAUAUUUUUUUUGUAAAUAAUCAUGUGUCCAAACAAACCUUUUUUUGGGUAAAUUACUUAUUACCCCCUUGUGAUUUUACUUAAUGUUAGAUGACUUCCCUAAGGUUGUAAAAUAGCCAUAUAACUGUCCUGUAGUUUUAUGUAAAGUGAAAAAUAGAGAGAAUGCACAAUCAGUUAUGAUGUUUAUACUAAACGCGCUUUAAAAGCAUGUGUGAUAAAAUUUUAAUAUCCACAUAAUUCCUUUAUGAUUUGUAUAAAUAUUCACUUUGUUCCCCAUGUGAUUUUUGUAUUUAUCCACGUAAUCUCUCUAUACUUUUAUACAACAUGAUUAAACCAUCAAUGAAUUUAGCAUUUAAGUAAGCACUAUUGGUAUUUCAACUAGCCACGUUACGUAGGUUAUUUUCCAUCAAAUUUUCGCUUUACACAAAAUCAUAAAGGAUAAAGUCGAUAUUUUGAAACGUUAAGGAGAUCAUGUGACAAUAAAUGAAACAACAAAAGGGUUACAUGUAACUUACCCUUUUUUUCUCUUUUUUUUUUUUUUAAAAAAAAAAUUUUUUUGGUUUAGCAGAACUCUAUACAGUAACACCUUAUUUUCUAACCAAAAGCCAAGCCAUGUCCCACAACAAAGUCAAAACACCUAAACGACCAAACUUGUAAAUGCCAUCAACCAUAUACAUCUCUACUUUUUACUUUGUUAGAUGCGUUUGAUAAUCAAAUUCAAUAUUUUAAUUUAAUAAAUUUAAAUCUUAAUAUGUUCAGACGCGUUUGAUAAGCAAAAAAAUCUGAAUUAAUUAAAUGACACUGAAUUUUCUAAAUAAAGUUUACUCCAAAAAAUAAGUAAUAAACUAUUUACUUAUCACUAAAUGUAAAAUACACUCAAAUGCAUUAAUACUUGACAAUUCAAUAACUUAAUAUUUCGGGUUUCGGGUUUAAUUUUUAAACUUCAGUUAUAUCAAACACACCCUUAAUCAGUUGACUUCGCGAAACAACCCUUUAAUUAAAACUUUUCUUCGUUGAAUGUACAUGGAUUCUUUAGUCAACCAGCUCUUAAGUUCACAAAGAAGAAAAGAGAAAAUUUUAAAGCCCAUUCAGUAGUGGCGAAAUAGAUAUAUUAAUACACCUCAGGGUAGACCCUGUGAAAGAUUUUCUUGAUCGUAUUCCAUUGGGAAUACGAUGCCAAAAUUAAUAAAGCUAACAACAAUAAUGCAAUCACAGGUUCGUUUAUCACUCUUGAGGCGUAAUAAUGCUCUCCGAUUCUUGCAUUCCACAGUCUAGCAGCUAUAGGCUAUUUUCAUAUUUGACAUUGAAACAAUCGUCAUAAUGAUACGCAGUCAGCUUGCUGCAGAUGAAGAGCCAAGCAGAGAAGAGUCUUCAUCUCGCUAGGUCAGUUCUUCAACACUAGCUUAUUUCUUCUCUCCGGUGGUCCAAUAAAUAGCCCAGUCUCCACAUCUGAAACUUCGCUACUCUCUGUACAAGGCACAAUCUCUGUGUUCUCUUUUGAUGUCUGUGGAGGCUCUGCUCCACACUAAUUAAAAAACACACACACGGGAAAGAAAAAAAAGAGAGAGAAAAAAAAAACAAAUGCGAAGAUCAGUUAUUUCAGUUUUAGCUGUAGGAAAAUUUCCUGAAACAUUACAAGAGACUGGAGUCCCAGCUGUUUGGUUGAUUUGUAUACAGAAAUUUACAGAAUAUAUCCUCAGAUCAGAAAAGAGAAACAUGUCCAGACCCAGCAAGAUAAGCCACGUACUAAAAGAAAUAAGAAGAAAAGGAACUAACCUUCUCCAAUAACUUGUCAUUUUCAGCUUCUAGGACUUUUUCCUGGAUGAUAAAGAUAGAACAAAGAAAGGCGUUACAGAUGCAAAAGUGAGUACACUACAUCCGCAGAUGUACGUAUAAAAAUCCAUAUAACAAGUGAACAUAUAGGUUGGCGUUGACUACAAAAUAGGAUCUGUCAUUUGUAUAUUUGUUGCCAGUAACCCCAGAAUUUGAAAAACUGAAUAGAUGCUUUGCCCAGGGUUGUUUUUGGUUUUGGCAUUUCUUCUUCUUUUCCAGAAGCUUUUAAGCCAUUUUCCCAGCACCAUUGUUUUGCUCUUUAGCCAACAACGAUUGAAGGAAAAUAAAGUUGUAAAUGAUCCAAGGAAUUGUUUUGCAUCUACUCGUAGCACUUGAGAGACUGAAUUACGUUGUUUUAAACAUUGAGUACCAGAGAUGAGAUUCAAUGAAACCUUUAGGGACCAUUUCAAUAAUUAUAUUAUUCUUCUGUCAAAAACCCAAAUGUAGAAUGGAAAUCUCAAAUAGAAAAAACUUCAGCCAUGUCUACCUUUUCUUUUAAUUUUUCAAUUUGUUCCUGGAACACUUGCAUCUGAAUGUGCACAAGAAUUAAAAAUGUCAGAUUCUGUAUAUCAUAUUUUCUCAAGAGCAGUCUCAAGUAUCUUGUUUUAAUAAGAAAGACCUUUCUUGCUCGAAUGCAGUUCACACUUCGUUCUAAUUGGCGCUCCAACUGCUGCAGUUCCUCAACCGUGCACGAAACUAAGCCUUCCCCCAAAAGUUUCCUACAGCAUUUUAACGUUCAUUGGUAAAGGCCAACUUUCUAUAAACCAAGUGAAUGACUAAGCAAGAGUUCCCACGAUAAUUUCAGAUUAGGCUAAUAAAACCUUUUGGAAGCUUCAAGGAGCUCUAUCUUCUUCACCAUGCUUGCAGUUUCCUGUUUCAGUUGCUUCAAUAUAAAAGAAAAGGUACAAUCAACAAGUUUGUUCUCAAGGUGUGAAUCAAAGUUGCAUUGACAUACAGCUGCUUCAUGCAUGCUAAAUCUCGAUUCAACUGAAAGUACGAGGAGAAACAGACCUGCAUAUUCUGUUCUGCUGAGGGGUUGUUAGCUCGAACAUCUUUUGCAUGCUUCUGAUAGCGUUCUAUUAUCUCCUUCAUGCUAAAAAUUGUGCAUAUUCCAGCGUAAAUGCAAUUAGUACUUAUCCUUUACCCCCAUUAAUGCAUACGAAAUGAAGGGACACGGUUAUCAGAUUUCACGUUCUCUGAAAGCGCAGAUUAAGGCAUUAAGUUGUUCUAUCAUGUCAAGAAGAGUAGAUCAUCAAGCAUAAAAACCUGAAGUCACAAUACCACUCUCUAGAGGAGAGGGACACAAAAAGGACGAAAUCAACAACCGGGUUGUAGCCAAAGCUCCUUUGUGAUUGGUGAACCCUGACUCUCGGUCUCUAUCAUUGCACUAUAGUAUGCUAUGUUUGUAUUCAUUUAGCUUGCUAUUAGCAUACUUUAUAGCUUAUAGUAACAAUCCAAAAUUAGUUUUUUGAUGAUUUUUCUACUCAGGGAACUAAAUGGGGAGAUUUAUUUUAUGCAGGAUGUACGUGCACUAUUAGCUACUUGAUUCCUUUUUAUAUUUUUUAUGGGGGAUGGGUUUGCUAGUUCAUAUAUGCAUUUUUGUAAACUAAGUUAUUCACAUUAACAUGGUAAACUACCUAGCAAGCACUUCAUAUGGCACAUUGCAUCAUUCUUCAAAAGGCAUCAGUUCAUAUUCUUUAAGUUUUUAACUCUGCCUGAUUUCUAAAUUUAUGUUUCCGGAAACCUCCACCAUUGCUUUCUUAAAUCACUACACUUUGUAUUUUCUCAAGCAGUGUGUCUACAUUUUUAACUACUUAUGUCUAUCUCCUUUUCUUGGUCAUUGUUCUCCCUUUCUUGGUGAUUGUUCUAGCUACAUAUCACUAAACUGCCGCCAAGUAUAUGUUACCAUGUGAUCUCUAAGCAUAUGUUACCGCUAGCUACAUGUGGUCUCUAGCUACAUGUGGCCAAUAACCUCUCUUGAUUUUUGCUAUUGCAAUAUUCCAUCCACUUGGACAGAUUUAUCUGUCGCUCAACUUAUUUUUCACUUGCGAAGAUAAUCCACGCUUCUGGAUAGACUUUUUUCAUCGCCCCAUUUGAUGUCAUUGACAAUUCACUUUGUGAUUUUCACAAUCACAAUUCAACUGACAGGAUAUCAUAACAUCCUGAAUCAAUCUGAUAAUUCUUGAACCAAUCUUAUGGUCCAAUCCUCACAAACUAGACACUCCAUGGCUAACCUUGUGGUCUAACUCGAUUAACUAAUUUCUUUGCAAUCUAACAGCAAAAAACAUCCACAAUUAACCCUCAUAAUCGAUUCAUCUUCAAUGUCUACAAGCACCCCAAAAUCAAUUUCUUGAACCUAAGGUUCUGAUACCAAAUAUAGAACCCCAAAAAAUAUAUAGGAGACAUUUGACAAAACCAAUAUGAGGGGAAGCAAUUCACACACAUAAAAAUAUGUGUGGGAGAAGAGGAAUAAUACCAGCAAUAUAUCUUUUAAUCACAUCAUAAGAACAAGACUCUCAUUCCUUCACUCUUUCCAACUAAACACAAUAAUAUGACUCCCUAUUUAUAAAUUAAAUGACUUGUUAAACAAGUCUUACAACUAUAAGAAAUUUUCUAAUAAAAUACUAAUUCUUAAACAAUGAAACUACCAUAACUUGACUCUAAUAGAAUUUACUAAAACGCUAACUUGACUAAAAUACUACUAAAUAAUAAUAUAAAAAUUUCUAAUUUUGAAUCUUGAUUUAAUAUACCAACAACCAUUUUAAGGAGAAAAGGAACUUAAACAUUGUAUUCUUUUGUCAAAGUUCAAAAUUUUCUGAGCUUCUUAUAUUUAAAUCUGCAAACUACCCCCUUUAGUGGCUUUUUUUUUUCCCUUUUUGGGAUUUUUUGUUUUGAAAGGUGUUUUUUUGUUGUUUUGGGAUGGGGGGUGUUGGGAGGGGAAUCCUCUUUCUCAAGUAAAUCCAAGAAUCUUCAAUUGGCCUAAAAUCUUGUGGACUUCAACAUUUGAACUAAUAAGAGUUGUCUAAAUUAUUUAAGCAUUUUGAAUUAUUAUGGAAACUAAGACUCAAAGUAAUCAACUUAUAACAUUUCUUUCUAUAUAUGAUCAGCGUCAUGAUAAAAUUUCAUCUUUCUUCUCUUGAAACUCAAUAUAUGAACUUAUUGCAUAACUCUCCUUAAAAUUUCAUCUUUUUGUACCAGCUAUCUAUUUAAGACCAGUUGACUCGUACCAACCAUUCUGAGGAUAGUAAAAUGUAACGACUCAAACAUAUUCAAUAGCUCUUACUUUGUAUACGCCAACAUACAGGUCAUUAGGGAUGGCAGUGGGUCGAAUGCCCUCGAAAGUUUCCUCUUACCAAACUCCAACCUGCAUAUUUAAAUCUUUUAUCAAACCCUAUCGAGUAAUCUUAUGGGUUUUAACUCCCAUUAUCAAACCCUUUCGCUUCGAGUUCAGAUUAAUUAUAUGGUACCCUCUACCCAACUGAAACAUAUUCAAUAUCUCUUACUUUGUAUCUGACAACAUACAUGUCAUUAGGGACGACAACGGAUCCGAUACCCUCAAAAAUUUCUCUUAUCAAAUCCUAAUGCGCAUAUUUAAAUCUUUUAUCAACCCCUAUCAAGUAAUCCUAGGGUUUUAACCCUCAUUACCAAAUCCUUUCAUUUCGAGUUCAGAGCAACUAUAUAGUACCCUCUACCUGCUAAUCUGAAUGGUUCAAAAAAAGGAAUUAACUUUAAAUCAAACUAAAAUUAAUGCAUAUCAUGUUAAAUCAACACUACAUUGAAUUUUAAACUUGGAUAGAGCCAUAGAGAAAUCAUCAUCUUAUGAAGGAUAAAUAUAACAAUCUUCUAAACGAAGAUUCAAACAUGUACAAGGAAUUGUACAUAAAACAUGACAGUUAACAAUCUACAAGACAAAUAUGUGUCCCAAAUAAAUACAAAAAACUAAAGAGAAGAAACAACUUCUACAGAGGUAUCAAUUAUUAUUAUUAUUAUUAUUAUUAUUAUAUAUCGGGUAUCAAAUAUAGAGUUUUUAGAAUUUUUUUUUUCAAUCUUAUCAGGUUACCCACAAUAAUUACUCGUCAAUACCAAACCCUAACGAAUUAUCGAUCGAUCUGAUUAACCAUCAGUCACAUUUUACCCUGUCCGCUGCCAUCCCUACAUCUCAUGUAAAUAGCUAGAAAUUUUAACACUUAUAAUCCUUUUAGAGAGCUAUUAAACUUCUGUUCUCCUAUUAAAAAGAAUUCUUGAUCCAACAAUGUGAUUAAUGUGUUAUGCACAUGGUCUGGUCAACAUUUAAGACUCAAAACCAUACUUGAGGCCACGGACUUGUAGGCAUGUCAGGUACUUUCUUACAAGUUUAAACUUGGGGCUAAUGCACAUAUAAUAGAGUCUGCGUGAGUAUAGAGUAAUAUCCACUUUUGUAGUUUGGAAUGCUUGUUGCUCAUUCCGUGAAGUUAAGACCUAAAGGGUUGACGUUUUUCUAUUUAUGGGACAAUUCUAACGUGUUGAAUUGAAUUCUUAAGUUUCUUGUUUGCAUGUCAGGCUAUCUGAUCUUUUUCAUAACUAGACAUGUCAUCAAAGAAGUUCAGUGAACAUUGAGAUCUUAGAUAAUACAUGUAUUUGGUGUAUGCCAAUUUGUAUUAUAUUGAAGUCAAUUCGCUUGUCCAUUAUUUCAACAAGUUUCAUCAGAUGCUGUUUGUGUGUUUUAAUGUCUAUUGGGAUCAAGUUGUAUUGCAUUUGUGAAAAAAAGGUUUUGUGGCAAUAAAUGUGAAUACAUACAAUUAUAUGGAAAAUUAAAUAUAUUUUAGAUGUAUUAGCGAGUUCUCAAUAGAAACCCAUCACAAAAUCUUUGCAAAAGCUAAGUUAGGAACUAUCAGAACAUCUAAUAUCUUAGAGUAAUAUUCUAGAGAAAUUUGCAAUCAGGGGUAAUCAACUAUUGGCAUGUCAAAAAGGCUUUAAUUUAAUGGAUAAAGUUGAGACCUAAUGAUUUAGAAAUUCUGGGUUCAAAUCCCCCCUUCCCCCUUCCCACUUCUUAGAUCUCGCCCCCCUCUGCAAGAAAAAAAGAAAAACUAUUGACGCAAUUAAAAAAACUUGAUUCAAUCAACUAAAUCUCUUUUUCACAUAUAUGCAUUUUCCACAUGAUGAUUUGUCUAAAGUUCCCUAAAGUUAUGCCUCUACAAGAUCACUUGAGUUUUUUUUUUUGCCUUCCUUUUUUAGGCAAUCACUUGACUUUUAUUAUCAUGGUUAUACUAGUGCGUGAGAUACGCACUAUGUGUGUGCAUAUUUUAGAAAAAAGAAAAUAAUAAAAAAGAUAUAGAAUAAAAAAUAAGUUGGAGAUUUUUGGGAGGUGAUGCAAUGUCCAUUAGUGGAUUAGUUAAUCAGUUAAUCCGGGAGUGUAGUGACACUUCUGUAAUGGUAGUCAUGUAGAAGUGGGAGAUUUUACAAAUAAGAUGUAAAUAGAUAAUAGUGAAUGAUGUGGAUAGAUAAUGAUAAAUGUUGAAAAGGUAUUUUUGGAAGGGUAAAUAUUAAACAUUUUUUGUUAACACCAAACGCUUAGUUACGCUUCAUAAUAUAGUAAGAUAAUUAAGUGAAGAAGGUAAUAAAGCAAAUACUUUUAUGAUAAUUUGAAAGUUCAGUCUACAAGGGUCUGAAUUACAUGCUGCUUGGUUACCAAAAGGAAAAUGACUUGAUUAAAAUAUGCUUUCUUGGAACCAGAACAUAUCUUACUCAAAUGAAAUAAUUAAUGGCACCUAAUAGAGAGUCAAGAAGCAUUUGGAAGGGAUUUUAAGUGGUUGGACAAAUAAAAUAUCAUGAUUCAAAGAUUAUAUCAAAAUCAACCAAAUACCGUAGUCAUGUGAUUGGAAAAGAAAUUAGACCUUCCAUAAAAGUACCAAAAAUCACAUAAAUAUUCAAUGAAGGCAAAUUCUCGUACUCAGAGAUAGAAUAUCUCGUUGUAAGUUUAAUCCACUUGAGUUAGAAUAUCACCAUGUUACAAAAAGGAUGACUCUAUGUGUAUGGUUUGUAAUUCGCCUCCUCAAUUCAAGAAUAAGUUAAAGAGAUUUUAGAACUAUAAGUAUGUAUAACAAUCUCACAUAAACACAGCAUAAACAUUUAAAUUCAAGAGCUAGAUUACAUCAUGACAUAGAAUACAUUUAUUCCUAAGGGCCUUCGAACUAAGCUUAAUUUAAUUCAAAAAAAAGAAGGAAGAAGAUUGAAUGAAAUCUCAUACAAAUUUACAAGUCCAUCGUAAAAACAAGUGAAAAAGAGUCGUUAGUCCUGUGCAUUUUAUAUAAUGAUCUCAAACACACACACAAGGGUGCUUUUGAAAGUACAAAAUUAAAAGCUGAGUUUUGCAUGCUUAUAAUAGGAUUUUUUUUCUUCAUUCGAGUCCAUAAGUUAAAGUAAGGGUUGUUUGUGCAUGGACAUUUACAAUGUCUUCUGUUCUUAAAUAGGAACUUGAAUUCCCCCAGGAACAAGGAAAAAAGAGAACUCGGGCUUACUCAUGCCUCAAACAUUAGUAGUGAUGACCUUCCUUUGUACGAAUCUUUCUUUGUACUUUAAACAUUUAAUGCUUUAUUGGACUCAUUCAAGUAUAAACGAGUUUAAUCAAAUCCAACAUUUUAGUAUUCAAACUUGUUUGAUUUAACGAGUUUGAAAUCUUGUUCAACUGUGGCUUAUUUAGUUGUUGAACCAAAUUUGAAUGAGUUUUUUAUCGACCUUAAAAGUUAUUGAACACAAAAGGUUGUUCAACUUAAACUUGGCUAGUUAGCGAAUCAAACUCAAACAAGCUUUUACCAAGCCAAACUCCAUUUGAAUAUCGAGUAGUUUGACUCAUCUUGCAACCCUAAAGUCACUAGAUCCAUGCAUUUAUUUCUCAAGAAGAUGCAAACCAAUUGAUUGUGCUUCAUAAAGUUAGGAUCAUUUUGGACAAAUAGUGUUUAUUUGAACCAAACAAUGGACAAAUAGUAUUUAGAUUUCUUGAAGAUACCAUUAGCUAGUAGCGUAGUAGUUGUAUUAACCUGGCUCCUUAAAUCGUAACAUAUGAUGCGUGCGAGGCAUGCUGCCUAAGAAUUUUUCAAACACUUAUUAAGACUGGCCCAAAUUGUUAUAAAGCCUUGGCUGUUAUUUCUUCUUUGACAAUUCCUUAGAAGCUUAGUACCAAGACUUGGCCAUCUUAUAAAUGACUGACAUGUUUGAGAUAAAAGAACCAUACUACAGAUGCACUUUUCCUUUCUUUUUUUUUUUUUUUGGCCUUUUGGUUGAAGUUGAUUAUUACGAUUUGAACGAAUUUUCAGUAGCAAAAGAUCCAGCCAUAUUUUUCGGGGAUUCUAGAUUUAUUCUACCAUAGCACCUUUGAUGCCACGACUGACUUCUCAUGAUGAGUCCUUCACUCAACAUUUUCCUCACCAUUUUACUAAUCUCCUAAUUCAGUUUAGCACCAAUAGCAGUAGAUGAUCUCAUCCAAUUUUCCUUCUAGAUGGGAGUCCUGUCACCCUAAUAUUUUAUGCAAAUAAAAUACAUGUAAUUUUGUGAGUCACUUUUACCACUUUACUGCUUGCAAAUUUUCAACCACUUAACAAGCACAAUAGUGUAUAUGACCACUCUUCUGCUCUUUUCACACACAAAGAAACAAUUAGUGCACAAUAGUGUGUAAAUGGGGGAAUCAAACCAUAAAGAUAAUGACACGUGCAUAAGCAUAGAAGAUUAGCAACACAUACAGCUUGAGAAUAGGGGGAACUAUAAAAGUUUAUUCAAGCAUUAGAAGCAAGGCAAUGGCUACAAAUACCCACUAAUCUUUGAAAAAGGAUGACACCAUCAACAAGAGCACAUCGGCAAUCUCAUUGGGUACUUUGAAAAAGCACGCCAUAAAGACAAGGGAAGAUCAAAGGAAGGGAUUCUUGUGAUUAAUUUGCAAGAUUUUAUUUCAUAAAAAGUACUAAACUAUCUCAAGGCACAUAAUAGAUUGAACUCCGCACAAAUAUUUUCUACACAAAAGAUUCCGUUGGGGUGGUGGUGAGGGUGCAGCUCAAGUUAUGGCCUGUUUCAAGCAGUACACCGAAUAUUGCAAAAACAACAAACAAGGACUAUUGCUACUUCCUUUGCCAACUGGCUUCAAGACUUGACCUUGAAAUUCUAGUCAACUUUACUCCACAAAGCUGCUAAUUGGUUGAUUGUCAAGGUCGGUUUCUUUCUUUUCAACAUCAUGUGUGUCUGGUUAAUUUUGCUUAGUGGGUUUCAAUCAUUAAAUUGCUUGCUCUAAUAGGAUUAUACAACCCUGAUUGCGAAAAGCUUUAAGCCCAGAUGUAUCCUCGUUCUAUAUAGUGCAUAGUUGUGCCUAAUGAUGCAAAGCCAUAAGCUCAGAUGUGUACUCGCAGCCAUAUUUUUCUGCAGCUAAAUCAUGACGCAAAGUUGAGAACUUUGUCAGCCAAGAUUCAACCUUGAAUUUUCUCUCUUCUGUUUCCUAUGUAAGCACGAUUAUAUACCGUAUCUGUUCUCCUGUACGGAAUGAUACGAGCAUAGCAUGAAAAUGAAGUUUCAUUUCAGCAAAUUUGGGAAAGAAAAAUAUAGAACAAACCACAGAAGGGCCGAGCCUGUACUCCUUUUGAGCUCUUGACAUUCAAGAAAAGAGAGACCCUCAAGAGAUAGGUGCAAAGGAAAGCUAAAUCUAUUUGUGAUGUGACAAUUUGCAAAGGAAAAGUGCCAGGAAGUUAUCUCGGAUGAAUUGAAAAAGGAAAAGUUUGGGUAAUUAAGCAAGAUGAGAUCCGAAGAAACCUGAGGAAUAAAACAAAUGGAGAGCCCUACUGAGAAAAUACUCAUAUUCAUGUCACAAAGUUAACAUAUUGCAUGAAUUGGGACAAAUGUAAAGACGGGUAUCAAACAAGCACAAAAAACCAAAAUGACCCUUUCUUGAAAAUGAGGAGAAUAAAAUUUAAUUCAGGAGAAGAGCAAUUUGCGCUAGCUACAGUAGUAAGAUAAAAAAAAAAAAAAAAAAGAGGAGGUAAUUACCUUGAACUACCAAAUUCAUAGAGCUUGCCUCUGGGAGAGAAGAUGAUGAGUGCAACUUCAGCAUCACAAAGAACUGAAAGCUCGAAAGCCUUUUUCAGCAGGCCAUUUCUCCUCUUGGAGAAGGUCACUUGCCUGCUUGUGGCGUUUUCUAUACGCCUCAUCUGAGUCUUCCCUCUCACCAUCUUUACACCUUGUGAAUAAACAGAACCAAGAGAUUAUCAGAUCAAGAAACAAGAAGAACAAAGCAUGAAGAAGAUAAGUGGUAAUAGUAGUAUUAAUGUAUUUUUUGGACGAUAGAAAACGAUGAAACAAAAGGAUAUUAUGUAUGGAAUAAAGUUUCCAAGAAAGGCCGAGAAGUUGUAGGAGAAUCAAAGCAAGAGAUUAUAGGCAGUGAGAAUCACAGAGAGCUUACAAAAUUGGCAAAAACCCAGAGAACCUUUUGGCUGUAGGCAAAGAGGAGAUAUGCCUACAAAAGGGAAGAAACCAAACUCCUCAAGUCUCACCUGUACCUGUUUUUCUUUGCCUACUCCUUUUUCUUCUUUUAGAAGGAAAAUUGUAGCAUGUGAGAGAGAAGAAUGAGGAGAGAGCCAAAAAUCCAGAAAAACUAGAUAACGAGAAAAGCUUAAGAGGGUAGGUGUUAUUGAUUGAUUGAUUCUCAGUGCCUUUUUUUGGUAAAUUCCAUCAUAGAAAGGGUAACAGUUGUGAAGACUGAAACUCUCUCACUAGCUAGUUUCCCUCCUCGUUCAUGUACCCUCUCCUCCUUUCUCUUAUCCAAUUAUUAUAUUCUUCCAACCCCACCUUUGAAAAAGAAAGAAAUCAUUAAUAUUAUAAGAGAUUUUUUUAACGGGGGGUCAAUUCAACAAUUUUAAUAUAUUUAAAUUUCACAUAAUUUAUGAUAUAUAUAUAUAGACACGCAUAUGUAUAAAUAUUAAUAAUUAUUAUUUUUUUAAUUUAUCCUCUUCUUCUAAUUAAUCUUAUAUUUUUAAAAAUCUAACACCUCAAUUAGCGAAUUAGAUAAAUCGAUUGGACACUCGGAAGCUUGUUAGUGUUGUUAUAAUUGUGCUUCUAUAUGCUUAUAUUAAGCAUAUCUCUUUAUCUUUGGAAGAAAACCUCAUCCUUUGCUUGUUUUAGUAACAUCCGCCUCAAACCCCCAAGUUGGUAAAAUGCCCUCUUAAAAAGGCAAAGGAACUUAUAAUAACAAAAGUUCUUUUGCCCUUUUUUUUUUUUGUUUAACUAAAAGCCUAAAUGAACAAAAAUACUAAUACACUAGCUAGUAAAUGAAGAUCAAAAGUGAAAGAGAGAGAAAAAGUAGAAGUAUUACGUUAGUAUGCAUGAUAUAUAAUAGUACGGGUGUGUGGUGCACGUCUUCAUUAGCCGUAGAGUAAACUUAGGAGUAGGAGUAGGUUAGACUAGAGGUUAAAAAAAAAAAAAAAAAAUAUAUAUAAUAGUACGCAUGGUAUAGCCAGGAUGAAGUGGGGGCAGUAGUACUAAAUUGUGGUGUCCGUACAAUGUUAGCAAGAUGUCGAGGUCCAUAGGACAAGUACGUAGUCCAAACAACCAAUGAAAAUUCGAAAGCGCAUGAGGCUGUGAUAAUUUUUAAGCAAACUUGUCAUGGCAAGAAGUCAGCAACUAAGAAACAGACCUCACGGGUCACUUCACAUGGGGGACCUCUGUGGUCCUCCUGUCACCUGCCUUUGUUGCUGUUUUAGCCUUCCCUUGUACAUGGACAGACUAUUGCUACCACUCCUAGUCUACUGGUGCUAGAGCUUCUUUUUUUUUUUUUUUUUUUUUUUUUUGGGGGUGGUGGGGGGAAUACGAUAAAUUCUACGGAUAAUUAUAGAAACCUCUCCUAAAAUUUCUAAUAAUGAGUUUUUGACUAUUCUAAUAAGAAGGUUUCAAAGAUUACUCCUACUUUUCUUGUCCAUUUAAAAUGAUAAUAUUAACCUUAGUAAUUUUAAUAAAACUCUCUUGUUAUCAUGUUUUGCAAAGGAUGGAUUUUAUAAUUUUUUUUUAUGUUUUUCCUUCUUAUUCAUUUAUCUUAUAAUUCAUUAGAAAUAUAGAAUAGCUAUCAAUGUUGUCCCUAAUAUCUAUCCAAAUUAAACUUUAAACUAGUAAUAUUUUUUUGAUAACUUUUAAUAUCAUCCAAUUUUUUUGUAGCUCUUUUUUUUGUAUCAAAAUCAAGAAUUAGUCAACAAUGAUUAAAAACAAAUAGCCCAAAAUUACUACUAAGUUAUGAUAGUUCCAUCAACAAACUGGUCCAUAAACUUUUAUUCAAAAAAAAGUCCAUAAACUUUAAAAGAAACAAAUUAGCACUUUUUUCUCUAUCGUAAAAAGAAUUUAUAUUGCCAAUAAAGCAUUAUAAAAUGUACCCUAUUAUAGCAAAAAAUUUAUUGUUAUAGUUGAUUAUCAAAUAACAAACAUUGGCAUGAAUAAAUUAACAUUCUUUUUGUUUAGAAUAGCAAAUUGAACUUUGUAAGAUAAGGGCAUUUUAGGAUAUUCAUUAAAUUUUCUACUCUAUUUUAAAGUUUGGUUACCAAAGUGUCAAAUCAAGGGAGGUAAGUAUAAUUUUUAAAAUGUCAAGGGAACUAAGUGAAAUAGUAAGAAACCUCAAUGGAGGCUUUUGAUAUUAUCCAUAAAUUCUAUUUUACAUUUACAUUUACUCUACAUUAAGGAAAAAGGAUGGAUUCAAGAGUGCCAAUAGGGAAUUCGGAGAGGAUUGAACCGCCACCGGACCAGAUGUGUGUUUUUGUACUCGCUGAUGAAAUUUUCAAGAAAUCUUGGACAAUAAUACAGGUCAAGGGAUUCGAUUUACACCUAAAAAGAGUUAAAAACUCUCCUUGGUGACCAAUUACUCUAGGUGUAGUUUGUUUGCUAUAGCUUAAUUGCUUUAGACUUUUUUUUUCCUUUUUUCUUUUUCCUGGCUCUAAAAUGUUCACCCCAUUUGAAAAUUUGAACAGGGCAUGAGCACAAUUUGGGAUUGAAAGUUAAUUGAAAAAAUUUAAUGGUAUUAUUCACUGUGAUAUUUUUUACGUGAUAUAUGUGAAAUAAAAAAAAAUAAUCGAGAAAAGUAUUCUGUGAAUAAUAUAUCAUGCGUUCCUAAAAUGCCCAAAAGUUUUGAAAUAGAUUUAAACGUAUAAUGGGACUUUCUAAUUUUGGUUUUUCUGAAACAAAAAUAAACCAUCGCGUUACUUGUGGGGUUCUUACCAAAACCAUGAAUACUUAUGCCACGAGGUAAUCAUAGAUUGCAAUGUGAUGCGUUGAGAUAAAAAGAAAAAUGAUUAAAAAUGCGUUGAGAGAAUGUUGCUGAAAAAUUCUUUCCAAGGACUAGAAAUCCCUGAAACCAUUACAUUCAUGGAUCAAAUUCGGUUCUUUCAAAAGUCAUAUAUUCUACAACUAAUGGCUGCCAGGUUUUGCAUCCAAUUUUAUUGGAUGUCCUUGAACUCAAAGGGACGGCUACCACGCCAUGGUUAGCGAUGACGCAAAUAUGCUAUCAAUCUCAUGUUAUGUGUCCUUCAAAAAAAAUCUCAUGUUAUGGGCUAAUUGAUUAGAAUAUAGGUGUAAAAAAGAAAAGUCAGACACUUGUGGAUUUGACAGAGUCCAUGUAUAAAACAAUGGGUACCAGGCUGAAACAGCCCGGCACCUGACAGAAACUUUUUUUUUUAAAAAACAUGUCACAUUUUUUUAAAAAAAAAGAUGUCAAGUGCCGGGCUGUGUCAGCCCGGCACCUGACAUCCAAUUGUGAAUGUGAAUUUCACAUUCACUCAAUUGAGUGAAUUGCAAUUCACAUCGAAUUGAGUGAAUUGCAGUUCACUUUAUUUGUUAAGCUAGUUGAUAAAUGCAAUUCACUUUAAUUAGUUUAGUGAAUUAAUUAGUUUAAUUAAUUGAGUGAAUUAAUUUUAAGAGAUUCGAUCAAAUGCAUUUAAUUAAGGUGAUGAAUUAGGUUUAAUUUUUUAUUUAUUAAAUAUUCAUUUAUUUGUUAUAAAUGAUUUAAUUAUAAUGCAUUAUUUGUUGUUAUUUAAUUACACUUUAUUUGUUGUUAUUUGUUAUACUAUUCGUUGUUAUUUAAUUACCCUUUAUUUGUCGUUAUUUGUUAUAUUAUUUCUUAUUAUUUCUUAUAAUUAUAGAAUCACACCUGACAGGAAAUUUUUUUAAAAAAUCUAUCAGGUGUUGGACUGUGUCAGCCUGGUACCUGACCGAAUUUUUCUGAAAAAUAAAAAAAAUUAAUAAGUCUACCAAACAAAAUGUGCCGAAUAACAAAAAUUUCUUAGUGAAACUUUCCCAGUAGAAUUCAAAUCACUUGACUUGAAAUACAAUUAUCUAGUAUUCAUAUUCUUUUAAUUUUGAAUUUUCCUCUUUCAUUUAUAGCUUCUCAUUUUAUUCGCAAGAAAAUAUCGUAAGGCUGAAAUUGUGAUAUGAUUAGUAAUUAUCAAUCGCAAUUUGUGACACGUUGCAUCAUGCAAAAGAUCAAAACCCUAAACACUAAACACUAAACCCUAAACCCUAAACCCUAAACUUUAAACCCUAAACACUAAACCCUAAACCCUAAACCUAAAAACCCUAAUCCCUAAAGCCUAAAGCCUAAACCCUAAAGAUCAAAACCCUAAACCCUAAACCCUGAACCUUGAACCCAAAACCCUAAACCCUAAACAUUUUAGAUUUUGUAUUCAUUCUCGUGUUGGUACUUAUAUUGAAUUUUUGCAUUUUACCAAUUGAACAUAAUGCAUACUAAUAGAACAUCUAUUUAAGUUUUGAAUUUUUUUCGUAGUUUGUAUUGUGAGGAUAAUUUCAUAAAUCUCCCAUACAAAAAAAAAUCAAAAAACCAAAACAAGAAAAAAAGUUUAAUAAAAAGCUGAGUCGACCUGAAGUACUAAAUACUUUGAAAUUUAAGUUAAUUAAUUUACAUUUCAAAGUUGAAACGUAAGAAAAAGAAGAAAAUAGAUUUGUGCAAAAUCACUAAUUACUCCUAUAGAAUGUUAAACUAUGAAAAUUUUUUCAAACAAAAUAUACCAUUCAUUUUGUAAUAAGAUGUAGUUCUCAAAUUGUUGAGAAAUUAUUUGUUAGAAUUUUUAUGUAAUUUUUAAUGUUCACUAUAAUUUUGUAAAACUAAAUUUAUUGUGCAAUAUAUAAAAAAAAGGACCAAAAAAAGAGGAAAAAAUGCAUAGCGUGACAACGGUGAAAUGGCUAGAUAUAAAAAUAAUGAUAAGCAUUCAAAUAAUAAAAGGCUAAAUUCCCAUAUUAUAAUAUUUGAUAUUUAGCAAACAUGUAAUGAAGAUUGUAUAUUUUGUCUACCCAGAAGAUUCCGAUCUAAACCCAAAAGAUUGUAUAUUUUGUCUACCAAAUCAUCAUAACCUACCAUCUCUGUAAGGAACAACACUUGUUUCGGUAUAGAAGGAUCAUAUGAAAUUGACCCUCCUUCGUUUAUAAUUUUUUCACCCCAAUAUACUUGAAUGACCAAGCAAUUAUCACUUGACAUGUUAUACCUAUUAGAGAUGAGUGUUGAUAGCAUUUUAGAACCUCAUUAAUAUGCUUAUUUGAAUAAUUAAUUAAUUGAAUCAAAUAUAUAUAAUUUAUAACAAAUAAAUAAAUAAUUGCGAUUCUAUAAUUAUAAGAAAUAAUAACAAAUAACAACAACUAAAGUGUAAUUAAAUAACAACGAAUAAUAACAAAUAGUAUAACAAAUAACAACAAAUAAAGUGUAAUUAAAUAACAACAAAUAAUAACAAAUAACAACAAAUAAUGCAUUAUAAUUAAAUAAUUAAAUCAUUUAUAACAAAUAAAUGAAUAUUUAAUAAAUAAUAAAUUAAACCAUCACCUUAAUUAAAUGCAUUUAAUCGAAUCUCUUAAAAUUACUUCACUCAAUUAAUUAAACUAAUUAAUCCACUAAACUAAUUAAAGUGAAUUGCAUUUAUCAACUAGCUUAACAAAUAAAGUGAAUUGCAAUUCACUCAAUUGACUCAAUUGGAUGAAUUGCAAUUCACUCAAUUGGAUGUCAGGUGCCGGGCUGACACAGCCCGGCACUUGACAUCUUUUGUCAAAAAAAAUGUGUCAGGUGCCGGGCUCUGACAUGUUAAAAAAAAAAAAAGUUUCUGUCAGGUGCCGGGCUGUCUCAGCCCGGUACCCAUAAUUUUAUACAUGGACUCUGUCAGAUCCACAAGUGUGUGACUUUUCUUUUUUACACCUAUAUUCUAAUCAAUUAGCCCAUGUUAUGUGAGAAGGUCGAAAUUUGAUGGGAAAGAUAUGAAAAGCUUUGUUGACUUACUGUUGGUCCGAAACCUGCAUUUUCAGUCUUUAGCCCCACUUAAAAAGGAACCUGUCGUUUUUUCCAUUAGAUUUAAAACUUAAGUAGGAAUAGUCAAGAGACUGCUGGGCACCAUCAAGAUUCAAGACUUUGUGACAGUGAGAGGUAAAGGAUUAAAUCUUAUCUUCCAUCGUAUAAUUGUCAUUUAAUUGUGACUGUCACUUCAAAUGAUUCCAAUCGAUAGAAUUUUUCAACUGGCUCCUUCUCUCCUUAAGCUAGGUUAGGGUACAAAAAAAAAAAAAAAGUAAGAAUAGUCAAACUUUGUUUAAAUGGAAUAAUGAUAAAUUUACCAAUUUUUCCUGAGGUUGAAAUUGUUAUAGGGAAACGUUGGGUGUCAAAAUGAAAAUCCUACAUGUUUUCUUCUUCCUCAACAAUCCAACAAACACUUCAUAGCCACUAGAUAUUCUUAGGAAAUUUCUCUUUGAAUUGGCUUAAACCCGACCGUAAAUAUUUUUAUCCAGGCAAACUUCAACUCUCCCCAUGGAUGAGUACAGAAAUUUGAAUCCCACAGAAUAGAGUAUUCUUCAGCCAAUAGCAAGAAGAAUAUGCAGCCACAGUUCUCCAUAAUUAAACCUAAGAUCACGGCUAAACCAUGAUGGAAGCUGCGACCUCUUCUCCUACUCUCUUUGUUGCAUGACCUUGUUUGGAGAGUCAUUUUUUUCAAAAAAUUUAUACGUUUAAGUGAAUACAAUUUUAAAAUCACCGUUUUAUUUCAAAUAUAUCAAAUUGUUAUAGUAUUUUUUUUAUAAAAAAUUCAGAAAAUAGCAAUCUGUUAGGAUUUUUGUGGGCUAGUCAUUUAUGAGUUUGGUUUUUGUUAUUGAUUUUAUUUGAUGAAGACGAAUAAUACUGAUUAUGAAGAAGUGGAAUUUGGCAGCUUCUUGUUUUUCUUCCCCACUUGCCAAGACUAUAAAUCUGGGGAGUCGCUGGCCAGGAAAGGGAGUGGGAAUGGGAAUGGGAAUGGAGAGGGUAGUCAACAGUAGACACAUAAUCUUAAUAGCAAUUACAACUUUUAUUAUCGCUUUUUACAUUUUUCAUGAAUACAUGUUCUAAUCACCUUUUUACUCGUAUACAUUAAUACAUCAAAUUGUUAUAAUAUAUUUUUCUAUAAAAAAUUUUAAAAAAUAGCAAUCCAAACGGACUAGCAUUUUAUUUUAAUUAAAAGCAUAAAAGAUUUAAAUGUAAGUUUUCAAACCAUAGAUAGCUAACAUGUACACUUGAUUAACCACAUGAGGGUUCUUUGUAUUUUAUCCAAAAUUUAUACUGUCUACUCUCUAGAGUUCCUGGGUGCCGGAACAGCCGUGGGUUGGUUUUGCUCCAUUUUUUUUUAUUCAUUCCGAUGCUUUUACUCCAUUGUAGCACAUAAAUAAAUGCAUCUUACUCAAAGUCUUUUUUUUUUCAUUUCACUGUCAAAAGUGAAUACUUUUAAGAAAAAAAAUUUCCAUCUAUAGCUUUAUUUUCCUAAAAUAGAAAAACAAUGAGGACGCCAAUUGGACCUUUUGGAAUCUUUAGAAUUUUUAUUAAAUCCAAGAAGAUAAGAUCAUUUUUAAGGCGGCUAACCAUAAGCUUUUGGACUGGUCUGAACUACCUAAAAGCAUGUGACCAAUUAAGGAACUCCAAGACGAGGAGAGAACUUUUGCUACCCCUUAAGUGUCAUGAUACACUUUGUAUAGCUGAUUGAGCCGUUGUUCAAAUAUUGUAAAGCCUAGUUUAUUAAUAAAAUUAUUUAUCGUUUCUUAAAAAAAAAAAAAAAAGACCAAUUAGGGAACUCAAUUCAUUACAGCUAAAGAAGCCCAGAAGUGGGCAACAUAUCUAUGUGACAUAGGGAAAAAAGUAGCUUGGCCUAGUAAUUUGAUAUUCAUAACGCGGUACUGCUUCUGUCAUUGCUCACCUAAGGUAACAAAUGCAAGUUUGAAGAAUUUAAUAUAAAACUUUUUUAUAUUUUUCGUAAACAUAUUUUUUAAUCACUUAUUUAUCUCAUGUAUAUUAUAUUAUUAUAAUAUAAUUUUCUACAAAAAUUUCAAAAAAUUAGCGAUCCAAACAAGACCUGAGAUUGGAGCUGUCCCGCACAAAAAAAAGAGGAAAAAGAAAAAAAGAAUUGGAAUUGAGUUCCCAAAUUGGUCAUGACGCAUAUAAAAAAUAAUGAAGAGAGUUAAAAAAAAAAAAAAACUCAUAAGCGAGUCCAAUAAUCUAAUGGACCAAAUUUCACGCACGUGAGGCCAAUUUAUAAGGAGGCGUUUGGUACACUAGGUAUGAAGGGAGAACGGAUAGUAUAAUUGGUCUAUGAUACCGAUUCCUAACUUGAACCGAACUUCUCCCAAGUGUUGCUUAAUUUUUUCACAUUGAACUAGAUGGAAGAGCUCAUCCAAUUGUGUGGUCUGAUCUGGGGUUUAGAAACACAGCUAUAAAUAAGGUCAUCAUACCUUAAAGAUAGAAUCAUGAUGGUCACCAAAAAACGGUCCCGGUGAGAGAAAAUAAAUAGUAUGUAGUAUGUAGAUUUUUGAAAAGUAUUCAUUCACCAACUCGUCUUGUAAAUUACUCCACGGUAUUAUCAUCCUCACUUAACAGUAAUAUACAUGAAAGGAAUGUCAACGUGCAUAUGUAUUAGUACAAUGUCGAAUUAAUUAGAAGUUGGCUUAAGUAGAAGAGAAAUAAACCAACACAAAUUGACUCAAUUGAUAAUAAUAGAAUAUUUUUUUACAAAACAUCGAGUGUUUAAAUUUCGCAAUCGACCGAUGUGAGAUUUAUGUUGAUAAGUGAUCUGUAAGUACUCCUGUAAACGAUUUAUUUGAUUCGAAAGAUAUAUUCUGAUCCUCCCUCUCUGAUAAUAAUUGGAGUAGAAUCCAAUUAAACAUUUUUCUACCGAAAACAAGAAGAAGAGAAAUUACUAGUACUACUUUUUAAGUGCAUUGAAAAAAGAGUUGGUAGUGGCGACACCUGUCAGCAAGUGGGUGGGGGUUAUUUCUUUUAUGUUAAGUGGCUUAGGUUUAUUGUGAACCUUUUAGGUUAUCUGGUUCAGACUUUCUAGGAGGAAGAAAUGAUACCGAGGAAGGCUGUGGCUGAUGGCUCUGUGAGGAAAUUAUGGAGAUGUGAUUGCCGAUUGGGCCGAUGGGGAGGGACCACUGACUCUCUCUCCUUCUGGUUCUGGAAGUAAAUCAGGCGCGCCUUCCCCAGCUCAGCUCAACCGGGAUGUGGGGCGCCCAUGGGAAGUAGACAACAAGCAAUUUUCCAAAAUUGGGAGGGGGCGCUGAUUGGAUGUCAACAAUAUGUACUCUACGGAGCAAGCAAGAUGUCAAAUGUACGUCGUGAGAGGAGAGUAUUUGAUCCUGCUUUGCAUUUCAACAGUGCCAGCACAUAUAGGUCCUGACGUCCUGUACUCAUGUUCUUGAUGUGUGGUGUGAAGUCAGCUUUUUGUCAUUUGGUAGUAUUUCUCUCCGAGUGCGAUCCUUUUAUAAAUCCAUGGAAGUGUAAUUUUAUAGGUAUUGCAUUUUCCGUUUGCAUUUUGUAGGGAUCCUUUUAUAUACCCCUGUUUGGAUUGCAUUUUCUGUCAUUUUUCAUGAAAAAAUUACUGUAGCGAUUUGAUGUAUGUGAGGAAAAAAGAUAAUAGAAAAAUGUGUUCAAGAAAAACGACAUAAUUUUUCGACAAAAAACGGCAAUCCAAACAAGGCCGAAUCUUUAAAAAACACAGAGUCAAUCCAAAUAAAUCCAAUUGAAUGAUGUUUGUCCAAAAUAUCCCCUUUUACCUCUUCUCGACGACCAGACAUCCAUCAUUGACAACCUCUAUCAUCUGCCACCGCUAUCCACAAUUGCUCUCCAUACUUUAUUUGAAUUUCAAUUUUAUAAGAAAAUUUUUUUACAUUUUUUAUGAACAUAUUUUUUAAUCAUCUAUUUAUUUCGCAUACAUCAAUUAUUUCAUUUCAACAUUUCCAACAUAUAUAGAUCCUGGCGUCAUGUACUCAUGUUCUUGAUGUGUGGUGUGAAGUCAGCUUUAAAAAAAAAAUGUUAAUGUAAAAAAAAAAAUUACUAUAAUGUCAGUGCAUAAAAAGUUAAUCCUUUUUUAAAAAUAUAUGUAAUAUACAUGAGGUGAAAAUGUACCUAGGAAAUAAUCUCCAACAAGAUUUUCUAUAAAUGCAAACAGUCAUAACAGAGUUUUUAUAGACAUUUUGUGCACCAAGAAAGGCCUAAGAAUGUUGCCAUAAAAAUGGAAAAAAAAAAUAUUAUGUAGCGUCUAUCUUCUAACAAUUUUCACAGCCAAUUCCGUCUCUAAAUUCAGCCACGAACGAAACUCAGCAAUUGGCCUUUACGUUCAAACUUCAGGUCCCAAUAAAUUUUCUCAAGCGUGACAAAUUCGUACAGCGGUAACUUUUAUUUGGAUUGUCGGUGCCAAUCACUUCACGAAACGGAAUUGACGUUGCAACCACUUUGCUUGACAUCAUAAACAUUAUACAAAAAGAUAUACAGAGAACACGUCCACAUAAUUUAGUGCGUGGUCAUUUACGAACGAGUCUGCAUCACAAUAUUCUAUCCAAUUGCAAUGAGCCCUCUGGUAUGGUGCCCUGUGACAUCCCCUAUUCCAUAAUGUUGGGCUCGUGGUUCUCAUUGAGCCAAGAGUUUACCCUUAAAACCAUAGAAAAGUGUUAUAUCCUCGUGUAGGGUGUUGUAUAAUUGCACGAGCAAUGUUUUCCUAUCAAAGAAAGAAAAGAAUGUUGGAUUGAACAUGUUGGCGAUCUUUUAUUGGUAACUCUAAUUUAGGAUAUGUAACUGUUUCAGUGUACAGUACGUUAUCAUGUUUUUAAGGUUCUAAAAGGGUUAGGCUAGGCACAAAUAUGUAGAAGUAAUUAUACAUUUACGGAUUUGGCCACUAGACAAUUAAGGUUUUUGAAAAAUGAGUUCAAAUGAUGGCCAUUUGUUCUUCUUUUUUUUUUUUUUAAAUGUACCAAACAUUUAAAGAUUCUUCUUUUAUUUUAAUAUUUUAUUCUUAUUUUGAAUAAACCUAUUAUGUGAAGUUCGAAAGCUCGUUGAACUCAAUUGAACUUUGCAUAUAUAUGUUUUUAAAUUUUUGUUUAUUAGUAUAAAAUAUCUAUUUUCUCCCUUGUUUAAAAUCAUAUAAAAUAUAAAUUUUUAUUACUUAAACUCCAGUGGACUCUAUUAAACUUUACUGAACUCAAAUUAACCUCGUUUGGGCUCAAUUCGAUCGAGUUCUAGUAAAGACAAAAUAACAUCGAACUCAAACUCGAGUUUGACUUUCAAAUGCUUGUAGAGUUUAAACUCAAAAUCAAACCCAAGUUCUUUAACUCGAGUCCAGUUAGAGUGUCGACUCGACUCGAUUGCACGCAUACCUUUGACUUGUAUUGGAGCAAAGAACUUGGCUUGAAUUCUGACAUUCAAGAUGAUGAAUAAAUAAAAGAUCCUGAUCGCAUAUGCUGUCAAGACUCAUCAAAGGACAAAUUAACAUCCUCCUAUAGUUUUACUCUGUUGCUCAUUGAGGCAAUUCUUAGAGAAAGUGUCGAGCAUCUUGAUAGGACAAAGACGCUUAUAGUUGCGGAAUGAAUUAAGCAGCCUGAAUAUAAUGAGGGCACGAGUAUUAUGGCAGCCUGAAACCAAUGCAUGUGUAGCUAGUCAAUUGCUUUGCAUCCGGUACAGAUAUUUUUCUUGGAACUGAAAUGGUCCUCCAAUUGCCAGAGAAGGUUUGCUGGUUAUAUGAUGUACAAACCCUUUGGUGGAAAACUCCAAUUUUUUUGCGGCUAAUUUUGCUUUCGGAACCUACAAUGAAUUAAAGCUGAAAUAACCCAUAAUACAGAGGGGGGCUCCAAAUUUAAGCUGAGUUGCAAAGAUGGAUUCCCUGCGUUCAAUUUGUUUAUUAUUUCAAUUCCAAGUAAACCGAUACCAAGAUUAAGUGAUCCAAGAAUUCAGUUCGUGUUGCUGAGGAUAUCUUCUAAAUCUUUUUUAUUAAUAUUUUUGUUAUUAUUAUCUCAUUGUCGGUGGCAGGGCAAUCUUGGUGAUAAAGCGCAUAAUUAAUUAGCCAAAUACAUGCCCCCUAAGCGAGGAGUUUGGCUGGUAACCACAUGCGGUAAUAUCCCGUAGGUAGAGCUGUUAAGUCAAUCGAGUAGCUCGAAAGCUCGUUAGAGCUCGGCUCGUUAAGGCUCGAGCUCGGCUCGUUAAUUUUGGUUAACGAGUCGAGCUCGAACUCGAAACAUACUCGUUUAGUUAACGAGCCGAAUAAGCUCGGCUCGUUUGAUACUCGAGUAGCUCGUUAGAUCUCGUUAAUGAAGGGCAUAUUUGUCAUUUUAGAAAUUAAAAUUAUAAAAAUUAAAAAUUAUAGGUUUUUAUUAAGGUUAAUUUGCACGAGCUCGAGCUCGAGCUCGUGAAGCUCGACUCGUUUGUGAUAAAUGAGUCGAGCUCGAGCUCGAGCUCGAGCCACAUGUACAUUUAACGAGCCGAGUUCGAGCACAUUUUAAAGCUCGUUUUCCUAACGAGCUCGAGUCGAGCUCGGCAGCCAAAUACUCGGCUCGAUUAACAGCUCUACCCGUAGGUCAUCAGUUUAGGUUCCGUUGUGGGAUCGUGCUUUCAUCCUUGAGCAGGGCUCUGCAAGUCAGGAAGUGAAUUAAUCUGACUAAACUGAGUUAGCUGGUGCAGCUACGGUUAAUGCACUUUGGCAACUCUUGACUUUUCAGAGGGCUAAACAAAUAUCUAUCUGUUAAUGUUCCUUGAUUAUGACAAGCACUCCAUUCUUUUUGCUACUAAUAUAAUUGGGACUGGGGGACCAAAAAUAGAUUAAAAUGGUGCAUGUCGUGUUCGGGGCGAGCAUGACUUCCGCAAUAAAAUAUUUUGAAAAUUGACUCCAAUAAUUUCAUAAGAUUUUCUUUGUUCUCCCUUUUUUUUUUUUCCUUUCCUUUUGUUUUUAUUCUGCCUACCAGAAAGUAAGGAGCAAAAUUGGACGUAUCUUUUAAGAAGAAAAAUUAGAAAUCAUCAAAAAAUUAUAAAUGAGAAAUUUAAAAUAAGUAUAAGUUCCAAAGGAUUAAUUAUUAUGAAUCCUAGUAUAGUUGGAGGAAUUGUGAAGGGGAAAAAAAUUAGAAUUGCCGUUUAGGAAGAGUGGAUGUUUGAGAUGAAUUGAAUGAAAUUGGGAAGGAUCAAAGAUUGAUGCGUGGUUGAUGGAGAAAUAUAUUGGCUUUAGGAGUUAGCUUCAGAAUUAUACAUAAUAAUCCACCCCCCCCCCCUCCUUAUGUUCGUCAUUGUUUACGAUUGGGUGUACAUAAAUUAAAGUUGGUCUUUUAUUCUGAAGCAGGAAACUUCCCGUUUCGUGUCAAACUAGUUGUCGUAUGCAAGACAAGAUUUUCUGUAAAUUAUGCUGAUAAUAACGACUAAACACUACUAUUUCUUAAUAUAUAUUUUACCAAGAAAGUUCUCCAUAUUCUUUUCACCAUUCUUUGAAAAGAAAGACAUUUUUAAUUAGCAGAAAUAGUGCAGCCCCCCAAAAGACUAUUAAUAAUUACUUAUAGGCAAAGCUUCCAAAGGGCAAAGGCAUGACUUUUCCAAUUUGGGAUUGAUUGUUUCUUUUUCUUAGCAUUUUAAUGUUUGACUCACUUUUUCUUUCUCCUUUUUUGGGUUGUGGCUUCUAAUGAUGUGUUUUUGCUUUUGCUAAUUUUGGUGAUGUACUAUUAUUAAAGCAACGAGUUUCCAUUCACUGCAAAAGAAGAAUCAGCAGCUCAAAAUAGCAUUGCCAAAUCCCUUUUGCUUCUUGAUUGUACUAAAUAGCGAUAAUGACUGCUCAAUAUAUGCCUCACCACUUCAGCAUCGUUUUAUGAUUAGUCCACGUAAAAAGCCUUCUGGAAGAGGCAUUUACAACAAUAUCUUGUGCCUGUGGACAGGAUUUUUAACCUUGCAUUUAUAAAAGUUUCUUUUUCAUUUCAUUGUCAAUCCUUAAAAAUGAUGCUUAGAUAGAAGAGUUUCACCACCUGCAAUAAUGAGUGCAAGCUACACAAAACAACUAUAUAACGGUGUAUGUAUAAAAUAAAAAGAUGAUCGAAAAUUGUGUUUAGGAAAAACUUAACAACUUUUCCAGGAAAAACUUAAGGCAAUCAAUAGUUCUAAAAUUUCAUGGCCCAAAACUGCAGGCAGGCUUGGACCGUGGGCCAAAAUUUGGUGGGAGGCGACACUCGUAAAGUGUACCCUUUAUAGAGCAGAGAUCCUUGCAUGCAUCAAUUGCAUAAACACCUGCCAAGCUAGUAAAGGUACCAGUGACCUGAUUUCAUUCAAGGUCUAAAAGUACUUUUCCGUCUUGGAGUGCAUCAUACCCAAUGUUAUGUUUGGAUUGCAAGUUUUAGCACGAAAAAUUCCAAACUAUUCCUUUGAUACGUUUAUCAAUCAUCUUUUUGCCUCAAAUAUAUUACAUCGCGACGGCAUGUAUUACCCACCCAAGUAGAACGAACAAGCACCAACUCUUAAAGAGAGAGAGAGAGAGAGAGGGGGGUCAACAAACAAUCACAUUUCCAGGAACAAACUAUACUCAUGUCCAUUCAUCUCCUAUCGAGGGCCAAAAAAUUUAUGCACUCAAUAUGAAAAUGCACAGCAAAUUCAGGCGCUGUCAUCUGAUUUCAACAUCGUGGGCAAAAUUUUGAAUACUGCACGAAAACAUUUGCAGAGCAAAGUGCAAUUACAAUAUUCUAAACUGUCUUCAAUCCCACUUCCCUCUCUCUUCAAACCAAGUAGGAUGUUCAGAAGCAAAACUGCAUUG
RNAcentral lists this long non-coding RNA (58231 nucleotides) under Coffea arabica (coffee). Its description in RNAcentral is "long non-coding RNA (CARA_LNC002027)". Lineage: Eukaryota; Viridiplantae; Streptophyta; Magnoliopsida; Gentianales; Rubiaceae. The record is from RNAcentral.